This 47946-nucleotide long non-coding RNA is filed under the name Setaria italica (foxtail millet). RNAcentral's name for it is "long non-coding RNA (SITA_LNC005248)". Lineage: Eukaryota; Viridiplantae; Streptophyta; Magnoliopsida; Poales; Poaceae. The record is from RNAcentral.
UUCCCUGGCUUGUAGAAUCCUCAGGACCCUGCUGCGGUCUCCACCAUCGCCCACGUCGUCGAUGACAACGCUGUCCCGCACCUUGCGCUUCUUGCCCGUGCCGGUGCUGGUGCCACCAUUGAUGGCUAGACUCAAGGUCAGGUUCAUGUACGCCUUCCAGCUUCCACGACACCGGCCUACACGAUCCUCAGCUUCUCACGGACCAAACUGACCUCUCCAAGAAUUCUAAAGAAUCGAACGCACAACACACGGCGCCGGCGGCGAUGGCGACAACGGAAGGGGGGCGGAGGUGGGGGAGGAGGAAGGAAUGAUCUCGGCCACGGUGAAGGUUAUAUAUAAGCCACCAAGAGAAUCAAGGAGAUCUUGUCAAAAGGAGAAAGAGAGGGAAUAGCGUGUAGCUUUGGAUGCAAGAAAUGCUCCGAUAUGCUGCCCGGUUCGUUUUGGCUUGUUCCCCGGCGGCGUGGCCUUUGGCUCCAAGGAUAGGAUAUGCCGGUGGAGGCGUUCGUUGGCUGCCUCUUUGUUUUAUGCUCGGAGGAUCUUCCUCUUCUGUCAACCCGGGCACCAGGCCACCACUCCCCUGGCCUUACUUGGAAAACAUUGUUCAAAGAUAGUGUUAACAAUGUGGGAUUAGUGCAGAAUAGAGACCAGUUUAUACGAUGUGGAUGUCUUACAUGUCGUAUAUGUGCUUUCGAUGGCAUCUUUUUCGUGCUGGAAGGUGUGCUUUUACACUGUAUAGCAUGGUGUAUACGACCAAGUGGGGUGUAUAAUAGACAUGACAAACCUCGACGGGUACAAAGUUUAUACGGUUUAAUUCAGUUCUCAGACGCUAGAUUUCUCUACUAAGUUAGUAGCAGCUUAGCACAGGAUAUUGACUCAGGAGGCAUCAUCGUAUACGUCAAGGCCCAUCGAGCAUACGUUCUGUGGACUUGACUUUGUGCUUUUUUUUUUAAUAAAGGAAUAGUUCAGUAUCCCGGCCUCUGCAACACGGUAUAACAUAUCCAGCCUUUAUUACAGAAGGAACCACAAAUGAAUGAAAGAGCGAAGAUCAAGGUAACGAGCUUAUAGGCAAAGCAUAUUAGUAAACCCCCACCCGUUCUUUGCGAAAAUCUCCAUUGCCGUGGUCUUCAAAGCUCGACAAGCUCCUGGUAUAGUGUCCCGAUCCUCCACCUUCUGCAAUAAAAUUUUGAUCCAGUGAGUAGCUCUGAAAAGAACCUACAUGCAAGUUUGUUUAUCUACUUUAUCAAAAGUAAAGUCAUUUCUACCGAGCCAUAUGGCCCAACAAAUAGCACUUACUCCUGUUAGAAUUAGAUUCUUUUCUUUCCACCUUACCCCUUGUAGCCAUGACCCAAACAUAUGAAUAAUAUUAUUUGGUUUUUCUAAGCCAAAGGUGGUAUGAAUUAUUCUACAAAUCAUCCUAGCCAUGUGACACUCAAAGAAGAGAUGUUGUAUAGUCUCGUUAUUACUACAGUAACAACAUUUAUCAUUUCCAUGCCAAUUCCGUCUAGCCAAGUUAUCUUUAGUAAGAAUAACCCGUCAGUGAAAGAGCCAUAGGAAAACUUUAACCUUAGGGGAAGUUUUAAUUUCCAUAAGAAUUUGUUAAUGGGAAGAAUCCUCCCAUCCAGUAUCGCUCUGUACAUUGAUUGAACAGAGAAUAAUCCACUUCUAUUUAAUGACCAAAUGAACAUGUGGUCCACAACCAGGAUGCUUGCAAUCCGCGUCACCAACUCAUGCCAAUUCAUAAGAUUAUUCCCUCUUAGAGCUCUCCUGAAGGAAAUGUCAAGAGGGAUUGAAGCCAUGACCUUUUUUACGGUGUCAUGCUUCCUAGUUGCCAGAUUGUAAAGUGCUGGGUAUUGCUCGCUAAAGAUUGUAUUUCCUAGCCACUUAUCUUCCCAAAAUCUUAUUUGUUCCCCAUUGUGCAAUUUAAAGGUCAUGUAAUUAAGGAAGUCUUAAUUAAGGAAGUCUUCUUUGACGUUCAUUAACCUUGACCAAAAAUAUAAGUCUCCUGGCUUUUUCUCUAUCUCUACCUGAGAGAUUGUUUUGGAGUCUAAAUAUUUAUUUUUUAGGAUUUGUUGCCAGAUUCCAUCCCCAUUAAGGAGCUUGAAAAGCCAUUUACUUAGGAGACAUUUGUUUUGGGAUUUCCAAAUCCAAAAUUCCUAGACCUCCUUGCUCUUUUGGUCUACACAAGAUAUUCCACUUUGUUAAUCUAUAUUUUCUUUUUUUGCCCGUCUUCUUGCCAGAAGAAUUUGGACCUAAAAUAAUCCAAUUUCUUAAGGAUUUCUUUUGGAAUUUCAAAGAAGGAAAUCAUGUACACAAAGAGAUUGCUUAGGACUGAGUUAAUCAAGGUUAGCCUGCUGCCAUAGGAGAGCAUCUUGCUUUUCCAUGUGCUCAGUUUCCUUUCAAAUCUUUCCUCUAUAAUUUUUCAAUCUUUAUUCCGGAUUCGGGUGUGGUGCAUUGGAAUGCCAAGAUAUCUAAAAGGGCCUCCCCAAUAGGACAUCCGAAGAUGUCCAUAUACUCUUGUUCGGCCUCUUUCGCAUAUCCAUAGCAAAAAAGCUCACUCUUAUGGAAGUUUAUCUUGAGACUAGAAAGGUGUUCAAAGACUGUUAGCACAAGCUUCAUAUUUUUUGCCUCUUCCAAGUUGUGAUCCAUAAAAAGAAUUGUAUCAUCUGCGUAUUGUAAUAUGGAUAGACCAUCAUCAACUAAAUGUGGAAUUAAGCGUGAAAUUUGUCCAUCCUCCUUCGCCCUUGCUAUCAAUGUUGCUAACAUAUCCACAACUAGAUUGAAAAGUAGCGGGGAGAGUGGAUCGCCUUGUCUCAGGCCCUUUUUUGUUUGAAAAAAAUCUUCCAACAUCAUCAUUGACUUUAAUACCUACACUACCCUUUGAGACAAACGACUCAAUCCAUUUGCACCAUUUUUCUAAGAAACCUUUCAUUCUUAAGGUUUUGUUGAAGGAAAGGCCAAUUAACCUUGUCAUAAGCCUGUUCAAAGUCCAUUUUCAAAAUAACCCCAUUUAAUUUCUUUUUGUGUAAUUCAUGUAAGGUCUCAUGCAAAAUGACCACACCUUCAAGAAUAUAUCUUCCAGGCAUUGAGUAGGGCGGAUAAUCUUGUCCGCAAUUCCUGUCAAUCUAUUUGCUGCUACCUUUGUGAAGAUUUUAAAACUAACAUUAAGAAGGCAUAUUGGUCUAAACUGUUGUAUUUGAGUUGCCUCAGUUUUCUUUGGUAGAAGUGUUAUAACGUCGGAGUUGAGGCUGUGCAGAGGUAAGAUGCCUUUAUGGAAAUCAACAAACAACACCAUUAGAUCAUCCUUGACAACUUCCCAAAAAGCUUGAUAGAAUUCAGCUGGAAAGCCAUCUGGUCCGGGCGCUGUUAUGUUCCAUUUGAAAAAUAGCAUUCCUAACCUCUCUGUAAGAGAACUCAGCAAUCAAUGUUUCAUUUUCAUCUGUUGAUACCUAUGGAAUGUCGUCCCUUCGACUUUCGUCUAGAGUUAAAAGACUAGUCUCUGAAGGUCUAGAGAAACCAUGGUAAUAAUCAGUGAUAUAUUUCUUUAACACCUAAUCUCCUUUAAUUAUUUUGUCUCCAUCUUCCAACUGGAAAAUUCUUGUUUUUCUAUGUUUCCCAUUGGCUAUAAGUUGAAAAUAUUUUGUAUUACUAUCUCCUUCAAGGAGAUUUAUGGUUUUAGAUCACUGGUACCAUUUUAUUUCUUCCUCCCUAAGAAGUUGGAUCAGCGUUACUUUGAGAGUCUGUUUAAGAUCAAUCUCCCAAAACUGUAACACUUCAUUUUCUGCCUUUUUGUCCAGCAUAUCUAACUUUGUAAUAAAUUCUUUUUUCUCUUUUUUUGUAAUGACCACUUUUAUUUUUCACCCAACCCCUUAGAAAUUGGCGUAAUCUUCUAAUUUUAUUUUGACAUCUUUCCAUUGAUGUUUUCCCUUUAUUUUCUUCCUUCCAAACCUUAGCCAUCACCUGGUAGAAAUCAUCCCUAGUCAACCAACCCAAUUCAAAUUUGAACAUUAGUUGUGUAGUGCUUAGAGGAUCAUCACCAAAGGAUAAAAGAAGUGGUGUAUGGUCUGAUGCUAAUUCUCUUGGUAGAGCAUGUACUAUAGCACGGGGAAAUUUUAAUUCCUAUUUCGUUGAGACCAAUACCCUAUCCAACCUCUCAAAAGUAGGUUCUAGUAGUGAAUUGGCCCACAUGAAUUGCCAUUCUGUUAGCUCUAUUUCUUUUAAAUCCAAACUGUUUAUAACAACAUUAAAGAGAAAAGGCCAUUUAUCAUUAUAGCGAUCAUUGUUUUUUCUGAGGGGCUUCUAAUAAUGUUAAAAUCUCCAAGUAGGAGGGGCAAGGAUUCAUUUUGGCAACAGUGGACCAACUCAGUUAAGAAGCUUUGUUUUUGCUCAUGUUGAGCAGCUCCAUAAACUGCAAUCAAAUUUUAUUGGAAGCCAUCAAUCUUAUUCCUUACACGAAAUUUGAUAUAAUAGUCCCCCUAGGAAAUGAAGCCUAUGUCAAAAACAGCUGGAUUGAUUCCUAAAAAGAUUCCACCCGAAUGUCCCUGGGUCCCGUCCAACUCCAUAGGAGUUGUUUCCCACCACAAAUACUAUUAAGCUCUGCAUUUGUGUAAUCAGCUCUACAAGUUUCCAGAAGAGCGAUAAAGUCAAGUUGUUGUUCUUUUGUAGUGUCUGAUAAAAACCGAAAUUUAGUCAAGUCACGAAGACCUCCGCUGUUCCAAAAAAUACCUUUCAUUUGACACUAUUUAUUUUUAUAUUUUUCUUUUGUUGUUCUUUUGUAGUGUAUGAUAAAAACCGAAAUUUAGUCAAGUCAUGAAGACGUCCGCUGUUCCAAAAAAUACCUUUCAUUUGACACUAUUUAUUUUUGUAUUUCUCUUUUGAGCCUUCCUUUCGUUUGCUAACCCAAAAGACGUUGAAAUUAUUUUUGUAUUUUUCUUUUGUCUUACUUUUGUCUUUGCUAACAUUGUAUGUUUUGAAAUUUUGGAUUUUGAUUUUUGCUUAGGCUCAAGUCGAUAAAUAUCACCUUGGGACUUUGUGCUUGGAGUUAGAGGACAUGGAACCGGUAAAAAUGGUGGAAAGGGGUGGUUGGGAGGGAGGUGAAAAAGGUGCCGGCAAGAAGAUGCGACGAAGGGAAGGCGAGUGGACGAAAGGGUGGGAGGAUAUGACCGGCAAAAGGAGAAAAAAGGCAUCUGAGAGACGGUGACACUCGAGUCUAUCAGACAGACCAUCAACCAUCGAUGAGGUCCACCGGUCACUGUCCUCCGUUCAAGAAACACUGGUCCGUCCUAGAAAUAUGCGACAGUUGCAUUGGAUCAUUCUGUUCUUCUCUAACCACUGAAAGCUCUAGAUUUUUCAGAAAAUGAAAUCGCGUAGUGCUGGUAACAUUCCUUUAGAUUUUUGGAGUUUCCUUACGUUUACCUACUUCGCUGGUAAGUGUUUUCCAGACGCUGAAACCUGGUGUCCAGUAGGAGGUACAGAUUGCAUGCUAAGGCAUGACGACAAAUUACAAAGGGUAGGCAAGGUAAAGGGAAAGGUCAACCAAAAGGAAUGGUUGGUUCGUGCCACCAGAACAAUUUUGAAAAUGUCAAGAGCCCGUGCUGGGUACUUCAAAACAAUACUCCCUCCGUUCCAAAUUGUAGGUCAUUCUAGCAUUUCUAGGCAUAUACUUGCUCUCAAAGGUAAUCAAGAGAACACGAAAAUUUAGACAGGUUCGGACCUCCAGAGAGUAAUACCCUACGUCCUGAGUUUUGCUGGUUUAUAUUGCUUUGCGCGGGUGCGAAGAAUAGAUCGGACGGGAUGCCCUCGGGAGGCGCCCUUGGCCACCUUAUAUAUGCUGACAACCUAGGGUUACAAGUCGGUUUGAAUCUAAUCCUAGUCGGUUGUUACAUGGAAAGCAAUAGGAAUCGGAUUACAACAAGUAUCCCGCAAUAUCCGGGCUGAUUUGAAUCGUCCGGCCUUCUUGACUUGCGCUCCAAGUAUCUUCACGUUCUUGGUCCGCACGUUUUGGUUGAGCGGGCCAACUUGCCAGGGUCGGCCAGUAUCCUGAUCGGUGGGGACCCAUAGGGUACCCAUAUUCCUCAAGCCCCCGAGCGAUGUGUAGGCGAACAUGAACCUGAGGACAACGCAGCGAAGCUUGGAAUGUGGUCGGCUGAAGCUGUGAUGGCAUCAUAGUGACGGAGAGGCUGCACAGUGCUUAAAAAGAAGAAAAUUCGAGCGAACACAGAGCUAUACCCGCAGAGCGAAGUCGAGUGCUGAGUUGAUAGAUGACGGGCAUCCAAUAAGCCAAAGCGAAGGACAUGGAGGGCGUCGCAAGACGCACUCCAUAUGGAGUACCCCCCUUCUGGUCCUCGACGAGCAUGGCGGUGGCUUUGGCCAAGUACUCUAGGGCUUCAACGAGUUGUACCACCUCCGUGUCGCACUUGUAUGACGUCUCAACGUCACCGUAGAUGUAGAGGACACCGUUUGAAGCCGACAUCUUAAGGACGAGGUAGGUGUGAUGCGGAAUCGCCAUGAACCUCGCGAGCAUCGGUCCACCUCGAAGGUGAGGUGCUCCAUACGGUAGUUGUUGGGCGUGCCAAAGGUAGCUGGUAAAACAACUCGAGCGAUAGGAUAGGAUCCUUUGCGAGGCACGGUGCCAUAGAAAGGGUCUUCACAGGGCUGGAGCCGGUCAAAAUUGAAGUCCAUACGUUUCAGGGUUUCGGUGAAGAUAAUGUUGAGCCCGCUGCCACCGUCAAUUAGCACUUUGGGGAGGAGAGCCCGGUCUAUGGUCGAGCAGACCACCAACGGGUAGGACCCGGGAUCUGAAUGUGGACCUAGUGAUCUUUCUUGGAGAAGGUUAUGGGCAUCUCCGACCAACGCAGAUACUGGACUGGCCGUAUGGAGACGAAGUGUACCUCUCGCUGGUGCAGCUUGUGUUUACAAUUGCUGCAGAACGCCUUGGGGGCGCCCGUGAUGACGUUGACUUGACGGUUCGGCGCCGGCUCGGUGGGCGUCCGGGUUUGGCGGGACUGUGUAGUCCCGGAGAUUGUGACGUGCAUCCUUAGGGAAGGGGCAUAGAGCGUUCAGGGUGUCGUCAAACUCUUCCCGGAGGAAGGUAGUUGGUAUGAUGGGAUCAGCUUCUGUAGUGAGGACCUCGGGGGCCCUUUUUCGAAGUCGGGAAGACUCCGGUCGUGCUUGGUGUUCCUCCUCAUAGGUCGACAAUUCAUGGUCGUCGUUUUGGCGAUGCUUGCCGCCCUGGAACUGUACUUGCGCCACCUCCUUUGUGUCAGCCUGAAUGUUGACAAGUUGCAUCAUCUGCUCGACCGUCUCAGCGGCAACCUCAUACAGCUUGCAGAACAUGUUGCAGUUCAUCAGGCCGGAGCGGAAGUACCAGAUGCCGUCGCGGUCCUUGAUGCCGACCAGCCUGCUACGGUUCUCGUACUCUCGGAGAGUUUCAUUCUUCCGCUGACGAACUUGCCCAAGAUUCUCCGUGUUUCCAGGUUGGCAGUAGGUAGCCUGGUAGUUCUGGGUGAAAGCCCUAGCAAGCUGACCCCAGGUGUUGAUGCUGCUCGGUAGGAGGUUCUCUAGCCACAGGAGAGGAGCGGGACCCAUCACCACGGGAAAUAGGUAGCCAUCUGGUCAUAGGUGCCGUUGGCGGCUUUCACUGCGGUGUUGUAUGUUUUGAGCCAUAUAGUGGGGUCAGAGCGAUCGUCGUACUUUUCGUUGAUAGCCGGCUUGAACGAGGAAGGCCACUCAACGGCCUUGAGGCGGGAAGUGAAGACAGCGAAACCAUCAAUUGCCGUGUCGUCGUCGUCCUCGAGGUUGUAUUCGACGGGUGGUGCCCUGGGGCGUCCAUCGUUGUUGCGCCUGGGCGGGACAUAGGUGUCUUCAGGGGCGCCGUACAUGAUGUCGUAGUCGGCACGGCAACGCAUCUCGUCUUCUUGGCGUUGGCGGUCCUCCUAUUCCACGUCGCGGUUUGGCUCGCCGUCGAGUCCAGGAGCGCCGUAGUCGCGGUCGUACUCAGCGCGGCAGCGGAGCUCGGCCUCUUCCCACUCUUGAUGGCGAUUGUUGAGGUCGGCGCAGAGGUCGCAGCGGUCGCGUAACUAUUUGCAGAGGUAAUGUUGCCGACCUUGUCUGCCACGGUUCUCGCCAUCGCCUCUCCUGCCACCGUGGCGGUUGUCGUGGUUGUUGAGUUGAUGGGCGUUGUUGGCGAGUGGGUUGGUGAGUUGCUCCACCUCCUCUUCACAGAUGGGCUCCAGCCGACCUCUCGCGUGGUUACCAUGGUCGCCUCGGUGGUGACCGGAUCUGCUAUUAGCGGAUCAACUUCGAGAGUGCCGGGUAGAUGUGGACCAGGAGUAUGUUGACCGGCUCCGGGCUCGCUCUUCGAUCUCGGCGUUGGUGACGCGGAUACGUGCCCAGAUCCGCCGAAGUGGCUCCGAGUAUGGAAGGUUUUCCAAGUCGGCGAAGGUAGCCCCCCAGGUUAGCCUGAGGUGUGGUGAAGACGUUGUGGCCGGCCUCCUGGAGGUCGGCUUGUAGAUUGCAGGCGCGCAUAUGGCGCCUGCUUAUGCCCCGGGCACCGUCCUGAUCGGCGUUGUCACCAUCGUUGGCGCGCGGUGGGUCGGCGUUGGUGGCGGGCGGUGGUCGGCGCUGGUCGCCUGCUGCCUCGGCUCCCAUGUUAGCAGCAGGUUGUUGGCGUUGCUGGGCGUCGGCUUUACUCCCGUUGGCGCGGUACUGCACGGUCCCGAUUCUUGGCAUUGUGACCUUCUUCCUGGGAAGAGGUUUCGCCAUCCCUGGACGGAUGGUCGACGGAGACCAUGAAGGCUUCGCGAUCUGACGUGGUGGAGUUGCUCUCGACGUCGUCUCCAUAAGGGUUCAGAAUCAGGACGAUACGGGGGAUCUGGAACUUGCCACAGUCCGAAAACUGGGUGACUCGGGGUGGGUCUUCAGAUUGGAUCUGAAGAGACUGCACGAGUUUCGCGAAAAACACGGUAGCCGAGUUCCUCAGACCAAAGGGGGUGCGGGAAGGACCCUGCGCCGACCUUGUUGGGCGUAGCGCUGUCUUAGAGAGGUUGAUGCACUCAGCAAUGGGGUUGCUGAUGCGAUCUAGCCCCACAAUCAGGUCGGAGGGCGUAGGUGGAUGGGUUGCAGCAAGGAUGUUGGGAAUCCUCUCAAAGAGGGAGAGGUCGCCGAUCUGCUGGGCGAGCGGCACGAAGGUCUCCGGGUGGAGGUCUUGUUCUACUGACGCAGAUCCAACGGACGUCGAGAUAGCGAUGGAUGCCGAGUUGACGAGGGAAGCGGCGAAAUCGGAAUCCGCCGGCAUGAUCCCAAAGCGAAGCUGGAUCAGGUUGACAAGGAUGUCCUUCAUGCUCUCGGGGAAGAUGACGCCGGGACGAGAUGCCAUCAAGCUCGCUAGAGAGGAUCUCACAAUUGCCCCUGGCACGCUAACUGUCGGAUUUAGUAGCCCGGCAGUCCACCAGGGGGUUACCCAAGUGGUAGAUUUGCAGGCAGGGAGGAUUGUGAGACCAAGAACUUGAAGUUAAUCACGAGAACACGAAGGUAGACAGAUUCGGGUCUCCGGAGAGCAAUACCCUACAUCCUGUGUUUUGCUUUGCGCGAGUGCGAAGAAUAAAUCGGAUAGGAUGCCCCCACGAGGCGCCCUUAGCCACCUUAUGUAGGUUGACGACCUAGGGUUUCAAAUCGGUUUGAAUUUAAUCAUAAUCAGUUGUUACAUAGAAAGUAAUCUAAGUUGGAUUACAACACGUAUCCCACGAUAUCCAAGCUAAUUUGAAUCGUUCGGCCUCCUUGACUUGCGCUUGAAGUAUCUUCGUGUCCUUAGCCUGCACGUGCCAGGGCCGGCCAGUAUCCUGGUCGGUGGGGACCCAUGGGUACCCAUAUACCUCAUGUAGCAAAGUUUUUUUUAAGUAAAUACGUAGCAAAAGUUAUGAAUGUAAAAAUACCAAAAUAUCUGUACUUUUAUACAAUUUGGAACAGAGGGAGUAGAACUCAAAGUGCAUAAAAUAUCUGUACUUCUGUACAAUAGCAGUAAGUACCAUGCCCGUCUCGAAACGUCACAAAGUGCCAAGUCCAAACGUAAGACUGUCCCGCACCUUAAAAAUCAUCGGUAGGUAGUAAGUACGGCAUUCAUGUGUACUGCCCACUGCCCUCUGCGUGAUUCCACUCCAUUAGUCAAUAGUUCUAGAAUGCAAGUAUAUUCAUUCAAAACCUAUGGAGCAGUACCGGAUCGAGCGCCAAUCACUAUACCAUAGCAAUCAACCUUUUUGAGGUUAUGGAAACUUGUAUAGCGUGCCGUAGGAGCAAAUUCGUACUAAAUUCGUACUAAAUAACAUUGCUAGAGUACUUUGUACAUGAUGUACGGCUGCAUUCCCAAAUUCAAUUGCAGCUGUUCAUCCAGAAUGGAUCACUACAUCGUGAAUUGCAGAAUUUGCGACGCUAUAUUUCUGAAUGCUAAUGCAAUUAUCAUCACCAACACACUAUGGUAUCUGCUUAUUGUCCCAUAUAUGUAUGGUUUUUCAUUAUUCUUCUCUGGUCGACAUUUCAAAUGCUAGAUUGACAAGGAUUCAGGCUUUUGGAUUUCCGCUGCUCCGUAUUUUGAUGUAUACUAAGUUCCCAUUUGGGAUAAGAGUACACUAGAUUCAGGAAAACUUCUUCCACAUAAAAAGCAAGCAUAUACACGUCAAUAUAUUGCAAACCUCUUUUCCACAUCGGAAAUCACCCACACUGCACAGUAAGAAUGCUUGCAGAUCAGCAUGGAAUGUGCACGGCAGCAAGAACCAAUAUUGAUGCCUACACAGAACCCAAAAUAUCAAAAUGACCAAACUGGCAAACUCUGAACAUCUGUGGGUGCAAACAGAUUCCACAUCAUUAUGUCCUACGAAAAGGCCAGUAUCUGGAUAUUAAAAGUCUAAAUUAGAAACAAGAUCAGUGGUUGCAAAAUAUAUCUUCACACCGGCAUACUAAAACACCAUGUUUUCUACAAUUGCAUCUGAAACUCAUAACACUUUUUAAAUUUCUCAUAUGUUUGUGAAGUGUGAGAAGAAAUCAUAAGAUCACAUGAUUGCAUUGAGAAAAUAUUACCAACUGGAUGAUACCAAGAAACCACUGGAUUCAACAGUUUUACUAUUGAGAUUGCAGCAGAAUGAUUGAAGCAUACAGGUUUCAAUAUGCAAAAGCUAUGCAUCUGCCAACACAAGCACAAGAACUGUACCUGGUCGUGUGCAAGCUUAAUCCGGACACCUUAAUGUGCUCCCAAAGUCCUUUGGUUGAUUCUGACACAGUUCCACUGUUAUCUACAUUAUAAUUCGAUGACCUAAUGUAGAAUCACAGAAAUUAGCCACCGAAACUAAAAUUACUGGAAUAUGGGAAAAAUAAUGACAUAUGAUCAAUUAAAAUAUUAAUCAUGCUAUAUUUGAUCAAUCAAAUGUUAAUCAUGAGAAUUUCUAUGCUACUUCCUAUUGUUAAAUGGAUGUCAUUAGAUCUGACUGGUUCUAUCUAUAAUCAAGCGGUCCAUGCAACCAUAUAAUCCUUCAAAACUUGAAGGAAACAUUUUCCAUGAAAAUUCUAAUGAUUGGUGUUCAAAUACAUUAUGACUAUUCCAUCUGCACGAUCCUACUUUCAAUAUAGCUCCAAGAAAAUUAAAUACCAACAGGAUUACCAUGAAUUCAUGCUAGUUGGGCCUUGUCUUCUUCUAACAGUAAAUGAAUGAUGGACCUGACCACUUCAUUGUCAACAAAAGUUGCCAUCUGAAAUAAGACAAUAAAAUCAGUUAAUUGUAGAAAGGAAGUUAGAUAGCAGUGGAGCUGUCUAUUAUUAAAGCAAGUUAUACAUUCUUAGAGAUACAGUUCAUAGAUAUUAAGCAACUGUAUAAAGAGAUGGACAAGAGAUGCUACAGCUGUAUGACAUUUCCAGUACAUCAGCUGGCUGUUUUUCCCCGUUCUCAUGUUCAACAACAGGAAGACACACCAUACCUCUGGCUUUCUUGUCAGUUCUUUCAGAACAGCAUCAAGUGUUAUUCGAAGUUGCUUGAAUAACACAGCAGUCUGUGCAGCAGCAGACAGCCUCAACCAUCCAUCUAUAACAACCACCCCUGUCUGGAAACAGAGAUUAUCAGUUUCCCCUUUUGAGAAUUCAGAUAUCAUACACUAUACGACCAUGCAUACGAGCAUUCCUAGGACCUCUCCAAAAUGGAAAAAGAAAUAUUCUAUGUGAUCCACAUAGACCUGGGUCAAACUAAAAUACCUAAAGUAUACCCUCUUCUCAAUGUGGUCCCCAUUUUUCAGACAUAUUUUUCAAUUUUUGCAUAGAAGAUGGACAUGACAAGUGCCAACAUACAACACACUACCACCGGAAAACUCGCAUGGACAAAACCUUUCCAAAAGAAUCAGAAAAAUAAGAUCCUGUCAACUCAAGUGCCUCACAUAGAGAUAAAACGAGGAUGAUGGGAUUCCAGUAUGGUCUAGUGUUUGAUGAGAGUCAAAGUACCUGAUGUUGGAUCACCAUGGAACCACCAAACAGAAGGAGUGAGUAGGGGGAAAUGACACUAGUAUCACGUAAAAACACCUUUGUUGUCUCAACCUGGAAAUAAGGAACAGAGAUAGAAUCAUAGAAUGAAUAUGUCAACAUCAGAAAUUGGUAAUUCGAAUUCAACUUGGUUGGUGUGGUGACCAUAAAUCCAUAACCCUUGAUACUACGAUAUGCUCAAAUUGGGCAGUAUCAGCAAAAUAAAUUCGGACAUGCAAAUUUUCUCUGGAUCAGGUAUACAAGACUCAGUAUUAUGCAUAAUCUGGAAGCAAAGGUAGCAUCUAGACCAUUUGCCAUUGAUAAUAGUUGACACAAAAGCCAUAUAAAUAGAAGCAUCCCAAUUGCAUAAAAAAACUUUUCUAUGCAACAAGACGGUAAGUAGCAGCAGAUUAAACGUUAAAAAUAAAUACAUUUAAUCUCUGACAUGCCUCCGACACUUUCCCGACUAGGCCCCGACACGGCUUGGCCCAAGAAAGCAUCCCUGGCUGUGGGAAUAGCAGUGCCAUCCGAGCAUCCACACCUGUUGAUGCGGUUCUCCAGCGAAAUGAUGUCACUAGAGAUGUGAGGAGGAUGAGGGCUACUGAUUUUGCUAAUCACUGAUGGGAGAUGGUGGCCAUGGGUGGGUGAUCUGUGGCGGUGGCUUCGUGGCUCUGAGAGAGAAGCAGCGAGCAGGAAGAAGACGUACUGGCAGCUGCUUAGUAGUUUUGUGAAUCCUGGACAGUGAAGGCAAUUUGGAUGGAAUGGGGCAAGCCAUUUACAUGGAUGGAUGGACCGAAUGGGCCAGUAAAUGGCAGGCCAACAGCUUUUGCUUUCCUUUCUUCUUAUUAGUAUCUUUUAUAUAAAUCAGAACUUUGGUUUGUAUGCUGUAAUGUGGUUGCUUGAAUUUGAAUUUAGACAUAUUUUAUUAUAUAUAUGCCGUGUCGACGUGUCUGACAGGUAUCGUGUCUGAGUCAGUGUAACGUAGCAAAAAACAAGCAUAUACCUUUUCAAGAAACACCAAAAAUGGAUAUUGAACAGCUUUCAAGCUGUGGUUCACAGAUGAUGGAUGUAUAUGGACUUCUCGCCUUCCAUCAUACCAUCUAGGACGGUCCUUGCUGAACAGAAUAUCAGAUGGCUUUCUUCCACCUAGAGCUCCAGGAUCAACACCCUCCAAAGAUGCUGCAACAUUAGGGUAUAGACCUGCACAUAUGACCGACUGCACAACACAAAUGCCAUGUAAGCAUUUUCAUACACUGUAUUGACAUCAUAUCCAUUUACCAAGUGAAGCAAUUAGUAAAGUGAUAGGCAUGACAAUAGCAUGUUAUACUUACAACAAGCAACAAUACAAGAUCAUUCCAUCAACAUAGUUUAACAAACUUUUGGUACAUGUCCAAAAGUUGCUGACAGAUUAAAAGCAUUCCAAGCUCAUUCAAUCCAAAAACAAGAACAAAACUCAGGCCAUAAAUUUAUUCCUAUCUAAUGUAAGUGAGCUUUCAAUUUACACUGCAUUCAUUUGAGUUUUGGUAUUCUAGAUCUGAUCAAUAUGUGAAUCAUAUACAUGAAGAUACAUAAUCACUCGAUCAAUGAAACUGCAAUGCCACUACCAGAAUCAGCAUUCUCCAAAUUAAUCAUGAGUCGUUUUUCCUUGGAAAAGUAAACAAAGGGAAAUGGCUAGUAUUGGUAUACAAGGGGUAGAAAUCAUGCUAUUACCUUAAUAACUGAGGUGCAGCGAGCAUACGUGUUGAAUGGAAGAGACAUAUUAGAAAACCAGCUCUCAAGAUUACUUUUUCUACUCCCCUCCUUAGGCCUCUGGAAAUAGGAAAACCAAGUCAUAUUGGAAGAUUGACUUUGAUGUUUCCAUUCAGAUUAGAGAAAAUGUACUUACAAUAGUACAUCAUUGCUUAUGAACUUGCCAGUUAUUUUAGAAAGUUGAAGUCACUGAGGUCGAACUGAAUUUAAAACAUAAGUGGUUCAUGACAACUUUGUAAGUUAAGUACACAGAUUGCAGUCUACUAAAGUUUGUUUCUAUUAAGUAAAUUUUCAAAGUUUUCUGUCUGAGGAAGAGAGGAAGGGAGAUAGAACAGACUUGUUCUCAACCCAAACAUCCUAUUAAAAACACAAACGACAACUCUAUGAAAUAGACAUACCAUGCUAUCUUUAGGAAGAUCAAUAAGUCCAAUGUCAGCUAACAAUGUGCCAAACUGAAGACGCAUGUCCCUGCAAAGAAAAAUAUACCUGAUUAAAUAGCUGGAGUGAAUCAACAUAUCACAUGAGAAUCUUAGUUACUUCUAAGGAAAACUUGAAGACAUUUUCAUGAUUCAAUGAUAACCAAAAGUAGCUGCUGAACCGACUUUGUUUUGCAAUAUGAGAGUUCUGCAAGUAAAGAAAACAACAUAAUAAACAAAAACCUAACAGUUGCUUCUACAUAAGAAGAGAAGGGGCUUUGGGCCCAAGUGCCGGGAUAUGAUCAGUGGCUUGCUUGGCUCGUCAUCAACUAGGGUGCUGCUCAAUGGGGUCCCCGGGGAGGUUUUAUAUCACCGGCGUGGACUUCGGCAAGGCGACCCACUCUCUCCUAUGCUUUUUAUCCUUGUAAUGGAUGUCCUGAAUAGCUUGAUUGAAAAGGUGAGCACUGAAGGGCUGCUGCAGCCAAUUUCCACUCGAAGUAUCUAUCAUUGUGUCUCCCUGUAUGCUGAUGAUGUGGUCCUGUUCCUUCACCCAGUCACCACAGACCUGAAAAUGGUGGAUGCCCUGUUACAGUUAUUUGGUGCGUCUUCAGGGCUCAGAACAAAUAUUCAGAAAUGCAGUGUCUCACCUAUUCAAUGUUCAUUGUGGUUCAGACUCACUUUCCCUGUGUAGUUCAGGAGUUUCCCUGAAAUAUCUUGGUCUCCCUCUUUCCAUCAAGAAGCUGUCUAAGGCACAGUUACAACCUCUGAUUGAGAAGGUUGCUGAUCAUUUGCCAGGAUGGAAAUUUGAGUUGAUGAAUCGAGCUGGUCGUGCUACAUAUGUGCAAUUGGUUCUCACCUCAGUUCUGAUCUAUUUCGCCACUGCCUUGGAGCUUCCUCCAUGGUGCCUAAAGGCGGUGGAUAAGAUUCGUCGUAAUUUCUUGUGGAGAGGCCAGAAGGAGGCGAAGGAAGGUCACUGUUUAAUAGCAUGGCCCAAGGUGAGCCGUCCAAAGGAGCUAGGUGGUUUGGGCAUUUUAGACCUACAGAGAUUUGGCUGGGCGCUCAGAGUCCGUUGGUUGUGGUUGAGUAAAACUGAACCCGAUAAGCCAUGGGCAGCCUUCCCGGUCACAGUUCAUGGGAAUGCACAGUCCCUAUUUGCUGCUGCUAUAACUACGGAAGUCGGCAAUGGGGCGAACACCAAGUUCUGGACUGAUCGGUGGUUGCAAGGGUCCUCUAUUCAGCUAUUGGCUCCCAAUUUGUUUGCAACUGUACCCAAGAGGCGGGUUAAGAAGCGUACUGUUCAGGAAGCAUUGCUGGACAAUCAGUGGAUACAGGAUAUCCAGGGGCACUACUCGGUAGCGGUCCUGUCAGAAUUUCUGGAUAUUUGGGACAUGGUUCAGGAAACAUUGCGUCUACCAGAGGCUGAGGAUGUUCAUAAAUGGAAAUUUGAGAAUUCAGGAUAGUUCUCUACUACGUCAGCAUACGAGGCUUUUUUCCUUGGAGAAGUCCAGUUUGAGCCGAGCACACUAAUUUGGAGGAAUUGGGGUCCCAGGAAGUGCAAAUUCUUCCUUUGGUUAGUGGCACAUAAUCGGUGUUGGACAGCUGAUAGACUCGCUAGAAGGGGUCUCCCUCAUCCUGAGCAUUGCCCCUUUUGCGACCACGAGGAUGAAACCAUUCAGCACCUCCUCCAUUCUUGUGUCUUCUCUCGGCAAUUCUGGCUUCAACUACUUCGCAGUUUUGGACUCCCAGAUAUUGCACCUCAACCAUCUUCCACUGGGCUGGUGGCAACAAGCUGGUAGCACACUUGACAAAGGAACCAAGAGAGGAUUCAAUUCACUGGUCAUGCUAGGAGCUUGGAUUCUAUGGAAGGAAAGGAAUGAUAUUGUGUUUAAUGGUGCCUCGCCCAGGAUGGAGCGGGUGCUUCUCCUUGCACAGGAAGAAGCUGUUCUCUGGAGGCUGGCAGCCGCCAAAGGCAUUAGUGAUCUGGUCACUGCUCAACCUGGGGGUUAGCAGAGUCCGUUGGUGAGGGGUGGUCGACCUUUAAAUUUUAACGGGCGUGUAUGUAACCUAGAACCUGUGAGGUGUGUGUAGUGUUGGUGUGUGUGGUGUUGUAUGGCUAUAUGAGCCUUUUAUCUCCUUUCUUAAUGCAAUGAUACGCAGCUCUCUUGCGUAUUCCAGAAAAAAAAGUAGCAACUAGCAAGUCAAGAUGUCACAAUCCCAUAAUUAAUACAAGGGAACUGCAACUUUUCCAACCAAUAAUUGGGUUUUUUAUGUCCACCUAUGAGCUUUGAAAACAAACAAUUACAAUGAUCUCUCAGGAGCAUACUUAUGAUUUAUGAACCUAUGCUUAUCAACACCUGCUAAACUGCAUCAUAACAAAAUUGCAACACGGCAUACAUAAAGUGCAACAAUAAUGGCAGGAAAAAGAACAGUCAGAUGGAUUUCAAUAACAUAUGUAAUUAAAUAUUCUCCGAAAACAAAAUUGCAGUAUCCAUAUUUAACAAGAACUGAUAUUUAAAAAAACUCCAGAGCAUCUUCAUAUAUCUACUACCUUCAUUGGAUUGGAUUGGAAUAUUUGUUUUCCCCAAUGGGUCGAUUUAGAGGGAGAAAUUUCUGUUUUAGAAAACAGGCACUAACAGGCACUAGAUGACUAGUUCAUUUGAAAUAUAACAGCGCCCCAAUCUCACAUUUGAAGAUUGAAAACAACCCACUUGUUUGAUAAGCAAAAGUCCAAAAAGGCCUUAGGAUAUCUGAUCUUUUGCAUCAGGUUCUGCAUAAGCAUGACUACUUUAGCAUCUCAUGAUGAAACUAACCUGAUCAUGUGCAUCACUGUACUAUUCAAGUAAAAUGAAUGGCAAAACUGACGAGCAGAUUUGGUUCCAUGCUGCAAUUCAGAAACCAGCUUAUUAGAUAUCCUCCAAGCAGUAGUUUCAAUAUAUAGUCUAUGUAAAACAUAAUAUGUACACAGUAAAAUAUAUGAAAAAGUAACAUGAUCCUAGAAACACAUUAAAAGCUGCCAAACAAUAGAAAAAGUGUAUUCUAGAACAGAAGGAAGUUGUUUACUACCUGUAGCAGUAUCCGAGACCAUUUGUCGUAUGCAAUUACCAUUAACAGGUGGUCUGAUUGUUUAUUAUCUGUUGCAGAAGUAGACCCAUCAAGGUUCUCAUUCAACAGUGUAGCUUUUGCUUUCUCUACAUUUUGCUUCUGCAAUAAAAAGAGUCAUAAAAUUGAGGCCAAAUCUAUGCCACGUAAAUUUUUCGUCAUAAAUUGUUUGUCAUUGUAGUCACAAGUACCUCAUCUUUUGGAGAGAUAAAUGGGGAUUUAUAACUCAGAAAAGCAGCAACAGAAAGAAUUGGUGAUAAACAACCAAAGAUAGCACCAUAAAGCAUCAUCUGCAGCCGCAUAUGAAAAAUGAAUCAGAACAUCAUCAUGCGAAAAGAAAAGAUCCAUACAGAACUAUAAAUUCACAACAAGAUGUAUGAAGCAGAAAUACUAAUUACUAUAAUCAACUACAUCUUUUUUUUAUUCUUGAACAGUAAAGAGGACUGCACACCAUUAUAUUGAAAACUCUGAAGUUAACUACAUCUAUUGAUUUUUAAGAACCGUGAAGUUACUGCAGAUUACAUAUGGAAGUGCACAAGAGGACAGCUGAUAUGACAAAUAAUGCGUGAUAAUUUUCUAAAUUAUAUAGAUGUAAAAAAGGGCAUGAUAAUUUUCUAUAAUUAUAUAGAUGUAAAAAAGGGCAUUGACUACACAAAUCAAAAUGAAAUAGGACUCUCAGAAAAGAUCAAGCUCAACAGGCAACUUUAGCAUGGCUCUAAUUGUAAACAAGCAGGCCAUGAGCCUUCACGAAAGCAAAAUGUUGAGCUUAAACGGUUUAUGCUGUCAUAUGUAUGGUGAAAGAUGCAUGCAUUGUUCUAUUAGUUGAGACAAGCUCGAACUCCGACAUGGGCUUACUCGAGCUUGGCUUAAGCUCGGCUCUUUGACAGCCUAAUGUAAAUUCUUGUACAGAAAGGAUAGAAAAAAUAAUGCAAUAUGCUCGGAGCAUUCUUGAGAUGUGUAACAAAAACUAAAGAAUUUUAGUUUACUGAAAUUUCAAACUGCUCAUAGUAAAAUAUCCGGGGUAGAGCCAAGGAAGAUUUUAUGAAUAUAGCAGUGUAGUAGGUUGUGUAAUCAAGGGCUCGCAGGUGAAACACUUAUUCAAAUUUAUAUGGCAAAAAUUUUGUAUGUAAGGGUAAAACAGGAAGAGAACAGGGUUAUGCCUCAGUUUCAAUGCAAGAUGGAUGAAAGAGAAUACAGUGUACUUUGUGUUGGCUCAUGUGACAAAAGUCUGAUAUUAAGCGCUACUGAAGUAUUAGCGAGGAAACUCCACAUUGUAAACAGCACAAUCAAUUUACUUUGCUGAAACUAUCCAUGUCAAUUAGCCAUACCUUUCCAAUCAAAACAUCAACAGGCAGUUUUGCUAGAUGAUACCCAAGAGGCGACAACUCUUCAUGUCCUUCAAAUGCUCCAACCUAGAUAAAGGAAUGGCAGCAUAGUGUUUGGUUAAGAACUACAGAAAGAGAUGCCAAGAUUGCCACACGUAUCGCAAUGUAUUCAUGUGAUGGGUUAAUAAACAGAAAUAAUAGAACCUUGUAUAACAAGUCAACUGCAGAGGAAAUAGCUUCUUCGUUAGGGGGCUCUACUGCCUGGAAUAGAACAUGAUAAAUGUGAGCAUAUCACUAUAUCACACAGAUAACAGAAGGACAUGCAUAACAGCAGAACUAACAUAUAGCUUACUACUAAGUACGUCACAAAAUGCUCUACAAAAAAGUCCACAGGAACUCAACCUUUCAGGUAAAAGUUACAUAAAAGUUACAUAAAACUUGCAGAUAUUGCAUCGAAUGAGUUGAAAUCAAAAGAAAGAGUGAUGGUGGAAAACAGAGGGAAAUGUACCUUUAGCAGGAAGCAUUUGAUGUCUCCCAGAUGAAGUGAUUUUAUUUGCAGGCACAGCUCAGUCAAAGGCAUCCGUAGCAUCUCAGGCACCUUCAAGCAUACACUGAAUAUAAAUUCCCAGAGACUACAUGUGCUGUUUAGGAAACUUUUGAUAUCCUUUGGCAAUGAUAUUAUCAAUAACAUAAAACAAAACUCAUUUGUGUCAAAGAAAACAUCUUUUCCGUAUAUUACAAAUUAAUAAUAUAGCCUCCUCGCUUCUGUGCAGCAUGUGGUUUGCAAUUGAUUGAUAUAACUACCCUAGAAUUGAUUGAUAUAUUUGAGAUGGAUUUAAAAGGUGAGGUAGCAAACAGGGAAUAGGGAAAACUCUCAGAAAGAAUGGUCACCGUAUAGGGAAUAACGAAAAGGUAAAAGGCACCAGGAAAGAUAUCUGGCUUGUAUGAGAGACGGACUAGGAGAACACUAGAAAAAUGUAACUAGGGCUAGUGAUAACCUGAAAUGGACGCAUAGUAUUUUCAAACCGAUGCCUGGUAUACAAACAGAAACAUAAACCAGGCUUCACACGACCAGCCCUUCCGCGUCUCUGCUUUGCAUUUGCACGAGAAAUCCAAUCUUCUACUAUGCUUGACAUUUUCUGCAAGCAUACAAGAUAAAGCAACCAAUAAAAGAACUUUUAAAUAUUGACAUUAUACUAUUUCAUAAGAAUUUCUUUGUGUCAACCGAUGCAUAACGAAGUAAAGAGAGCUCAUGCACAAACACUAGAAUUGCGAGCUAGCCAAACAGACACAUUGAGUACCAUUUGCAUUUUACUUUGGGACUCAUUGCCUAAUGAUUUUGAAAGUCCAAGUAUGCAACCAAACCAUGAGCUGAACACAAUCUGGCAUGGUAGAAGACUAUAAGUCUAUAACAGUUAAUUCCACUAUUAGCGUCAAGGCAUCAAGUACUAAUGAAAGUGCAUAUGGCCCCCUAAGUGGUUUUUGGUAUUGAUGACAUGCAUAAUUAAGGGACUACUGUUUUUAUCGAGUAAUUGACAGGUUUAAAUCUUAAGAAGUGCAAAAGUGUAAGGAAGGACCCCAAAUUUAAUUGAAAUCGGUGUUGGAGCUUAAGAGAAGAUCUUUUAAUAAUUUCUAUUUUUGAAUUUGAGUAUAGGAACACCGUACUAUAAAGGGGGACUCAACUAGUUGGCUUGAAGAUGUCAAAGUGCUCAUUUGAGAUGCUAACUACCCAUGAGAGACACCUUAAUCACACACUUGCACAUGCAGUUCCUCAUAGUUUUUGCACUUGUCGGAAGUUUCGAUUGGGUGUCAGAAGUUCCGACAGGUGCCGGAAGUUUUCAGAAACUUCCGACCAAGGUCGCUUAGCAAAUUUCUUUUUAAAGUGUCAGAAGUUCUGACCCUGUGUUGGAAGUUCCGACAUGCACUUUAACAGCAAUAACGGCUAGUUUUGGGGGUCGGGUAUUUAUACCCCCUCAACCCCCUCUUCAUUUGCUACUGACCUAACCACGAAACAAAAACCUCCAAGAGCAUUCAAUCCUCCUCCCCACUCCCUCCUUGAGCUAAAUCUUUGAGAGUUUUGAGCUAGGGCUUGGGAGAGAGGAAGAUUUGAGGUGUGUGACUCUAGCUUUGAGUGUGAGGUCAACCAAGUUCAUCUCAAGAGCACUUGAAGUAUCUUCGGACUUCGAUUCGCGUUUGUUACUCUUGAAGCUUGCUUCUAGACGGUUCGGCGUCGCCCGUUUGAGCGCCCUCUUUGUUGUGGUGCGCCCGUGAAGUUUGUAUUGCCCAUCCUCUUCGAGGAUUCAUAGUAAGAGCAACUUCAAUAGAAUUUGUAUCCUACCCCUAAUACCUUGUUUAGGGAGAAAAAAGAAAAAAAGGAUUCCAACAACUCCCCAAAAACUUCCCCAAGCUAUUCGCGACGCCAAAACAGAGCCCGUCGCCGAGCAUAUUUGCGUGAUUUUCCUCCUCCCCCAAUCAGUCUUCCCGCGCGAGAGUCUUCCAACGGCGGGGCAAGGGGUGGCAAACCGCAGCCCCGCACGACGCCACUUGCGGCACGACGAGGCCCCCCUCACCGAGGCCCGCACAAGGCCGGCCACGGCAGGGCCGCCGCUCCUCUGUCCAUGCUGCGCGAGCCCCACUGAGAUGCCGUCCGUGAGAGGCCGGCUUGCCUCCCCGGGAAGCCCAUCGAAGCAGUCACCGGGAUCAGCAUCCCCUUCGCCUUGUGGACUUGGAUUGAAGUUUGGUGCGUUGCAAUGGGGAGAAGGGAUUCGUUGUUUCCUGCUGGCUGCUUGGACGAGCUCCUACAAGGGAGAAAUCGGGUGGGGAAUUUUGCGUGUGUGCAUCUGAUUUGACAGAAGAGCAAGGCAAGAUCUUGUGCUGUGAGUCUGUUGUGAUGUUGCCGAUUGUAGAGAAAGAGAGCGAAUCCGUUUUACCUAUCUCCAAUUGGCGUUGGAGAUCGCAUGGAUGGGUCGGGUGGCAAAAGCCUCGGUGAGCCGAUGGGAGGGGGCGACUGGAGAUUCUGGCAGCGGCAACGCUGUAGAUCAAGAGAGAGGGAGGUGAUUGUGAGGGGAGGAGGUGGGCAGCCCAAGUGAGAUGGGCCCAAUUAUGAUGAUGUGGCUGUUUUGAAAUAUUGGGGGCUAGUUAUUGGGGAACUGUUGUGGGUUCGUAUGUUUUUGGGGGAAAAAAUUUUUUGGAAGAGCCACCAAUACAUAGUUUUGGGGAAGAACCUUUUGGGAAACUCUUGGAUUUGCUCUAAGUGACUCAAUCCUCCUUUGUGGUUGAUUGAGAGAGGUAAAGGGUUAGUGAGGACCCGGCUCUUUGUGAGCUCCUCAACGGAGACGUAGCUUCCUUUGUGGGAGUGAACUUCGAUAAACAAAUCCUUUAUCUAGUGUGCUUGUUGUGUUCCUCAAGUUCUUGUUGACCUAGAACUUGUUUUAUGCCGAUCUACUUUCUCGUGAAGUUUCCCUUAUAAAGAUCACCUGCACUAGUCUCUAGACUUCAUUGCUAAACUUUUGAUUCAAAUAGAUUCUGCUGAAAUGAGUUUGAUUUUGAAUUUCGUACAGUAUUUUUAUCUCUGUCAGAAGUUCCACCCCUGUAACAGAAGUUCCGACCCCGUCGGAAGUUCCGGCACAGUGUCGGAAGUUCCGACCCAUUUAACUCUGCUGCAAAGAUUUUUCAGGUUUUACAGAUCGAGCCUAUUCAACCCCCCCCCCCCCCCCCUCUCUCUAGGCAUCACACGAUCCUUUCAACUAACCCAUGUGUUUCAUUUAUAACUUUUUUUUCUAUAGUGGUCUUGUUUUUAUGAAAGGUAGUGUAAUACAAGAAUUGAAUUUAUUGAUACUGCUCCAGAAGAAUAAGAAGAAAAUCAAACUCUGGAAGUACAAGCAGUACAGAAUAAAAUGAAUGAUAAACCUUCCUUACUAUGUUAUAAGCCUCCUCAGGAACCACGGGAUCUGAGGAGUUUCAGCAGUAUUAUGUUAGAUUGAGUGCUUCUUUUUUUUACCUAUGAUAGACCAGCUAGUGUUUUUUUCCUUAUAAACUACUGAAGGACCCUGAUAGGCCCAAAAAUAUUUAGUACCAAACCCGUAAAGCACUGUUUCAUCAACGAAUCCGCAAACAAUGUUAUCAUGGACAAAUUUGCCAACUGCCCUUUCAGUAAAUCCAAAGUGAACUAUCCAGUUAACAAGUGAUACAUAAAAAACUGAAGAAAUAUAGAAAUACUUGGCAAAAGAUCAUGAAAAUGGUAAAUCCUCAUCUUCUUUCCCCAAAAUUACAGGUGAAAAUAAGAGAAAUCUGACCUUCCGUGGGUUAUAACGGUUCUGCUUGUGCUUUCCAGCAUCAACGACAUAUAUUACAUCAUCAAUUGUAAUACUGGUCUCUGCUAUGUCUGUGGCAACAAUAACCUGCAACAGCAUGUAGUAAGCACACAGUAGAUCUGUGAGGACAGGAGUGAGCGUAAUCACCUUGCGAAAGUUAUCUGGAGGAGACUGGAACACUUUUCUUUGAUCAGUGGGUCCAAGUAGUGAAUGUAAAGGAAGGAUCCAAUCAGAUGAUGCCCCUCCAAAUCUAACUGAAGCAGAUAAUCUAUCAAUCAACAUGUCAAUCUCUGCAACUCCCUGUAGCAGCAUCAAUAGCAGGAAAGGAUGUGCCCUUUAAUGUAAGAUACAUAUUAGCAAACAAAGCACUAAGCUGAUGUAAAACCCUAAACUUACAGGAAGAAAAACUAGAAGAGCACCAGGAGGGAAAUUCUCAUCAAUAUAGCAUAUCAAGUCUUCCAAUAGAUCAAAAUCAAUCACAUCUUCAUUCAAGCAUUUCUGUGUUAUCAACAGAAAAUUUCAGUCAGAACCAAAACAUUGUUAAAAGAGAAGGGUGUAAAAUAUGGGUCAGAUAAAGGAACUCACUAGAUUUUGGUUGGUUCUCUCACUGUAUGACUUAUAGUAAUCAGAAACAUAAUGAGGGUUAACAUAGCCUUCAGAAAGAGUUGACUCAUCACCCCAUGAGGAUAAGACAAGGUUCUUUUUUCCUCGUCGGUUAUUCACUGAGCUGCUCGCAUGCUUCCACUGGAAAAGUGUAAAAAAGAAUAAAUGUAAGUACAGCACUAAUGAUCAGAAACAUACCAAGCAUAAUGGAUUUCAAUUGGUUAGCCCUGAGGAUCUUAAGGGCAGUUACAGAGCAUAUAGUUGCAAAAACACAUACUCUUACCCCUAAAGUAGUUAUAUAAGAUUUAAACAGGGAAUCCCCAGCUUUAUUACAAGCAAGAAGCAACACAUCAAAUACAUGGUUCAUGUUAGGGUGGUAAACUGUGCUAUAGAUUAUUUCAAAAGAAGUUGCAUGACCAACAAGAUUUUCCAUACUUUUGUAACGGACACAGAAGACUAACAGAACAAGCCUAUAUCUACAAAUACAAUGAGCAACAGAAACACAUACAAGAUCUAGCCACCCAAAAGAAACAGUAAUAGUCACAGGGCUCCAACAGAUCAAGAAUGUGUACACUAUCUGGUGUAAGAAAUGGGAAUACGAAACCUUUUCCCCAUGGUGUGCGAAGUACGCUCCUGAUGCAGGAGAAUCCAAUGCAAGACAGUACUCCAUUUUCUCAUAAACAUCCUCAAGAAAGUGAGUUGACACCGGAUGUGUUCUUCCUUCAACAUUAAUCACAGGGCAUUCUCCAAAAUAUCGUGCAAAUAGGCUUGAAUCGACCGUCGCGGACCUGAUUGUAAAGAACAUUGGAAUAAACACAAGAUUGGAAUAAGACAACAAAUGCAAACAGUAAGAAAAAGAAUGCAAAAACUGAAAGAAAUAAAGAUAUUAAGCCAAAGGGGAUGAGUUUUACAUGAGAAUCACUUUCAACUUCCUUCCUUGUUGAUAGGAGCGUUUCUCAACGAGAUUCUUAAGAACAAUAAGCAAGAAGUCACUCUGGAGGGAGGAAUAAAGAUUAUUUACCUCAUUUAGCACAGGAACACGCAUGACAUUUUGUAACAUGAAAAAGUAUAAAGCACAUGAGUACAUACCAAAAUAGUACGUUCAUGUACUUCAUCUACUACAACAUGAGUAACAUCACUUAAGUCUCUGUUUCCCUGAAAUAUAUAGCACGGAUAACAAAGUAUAUUUUAGCAACUAUCAAGACAUGGUACAAAAUUAGGUUCCUCCUUUUAUUAGCUGAAUGGCAAGUUCAAGUUUUACCAGAAGAGACCAAAUGAAAAAACCGAAAUCGUCAUUAAUGUGAUUAUGAAAAAUGCAUGAAACAAUAAUUGUUAUGCAUAUGAGGGCACUACUUACAGAUAAUUUCCUGAGAAGGAUACCAGUAGUGCAGAACAAAAGUUUUGUCCUCUCAUUCCUAAAACAAUAAAAAAGCAUCAGACAUAUUUUUGAAAGAAAUGUGGUAUAAAAAUAUUUGAUACAAAACUAAACGGUACAAAGCCCAAGGGAAAGGAAAACAAACAGAUGAAAAAGGAAGGAAGAAAAGGUACAAAGGGAAGAAAGAGAGAGGGAUUAACGCAUAAGAAGGAUUUUCUACCCAAGCGAAAAUAUCAGACAUAUUAUAUACAAACUAUAUGUUAUACUUAUAAACCUUCACGGAUCAUGUGCGAAAUUGUAAGCACUGCAUGCAUGGAUCACGUGCAUGAGAAAGAAACAAACCGUGCACUGUCAAGACGAACUUGAUAUCCGACCAGUGAAUCAUUCGAUCCAGGUGAAGAUUCACACCUUUCAUCAGACACUCUCUCCGCAACAGAAAUGGCCUAUACAUAUGUAGACCAAUCCAAGUUAAAUUCGAUUAUAUCUGUCUGAUAAAAUAAAAGUUAUAGGUAAUUUGUGAUUAUGUAAAGUUUGAAGCUUUGCAAAUAUGAAAAGAGCAAUCACCACAACAAAAGAUCUCCUGAUAAUGCAAUACUCAAAACUUGUGUAUGAGAUCCAAUCAAUAUGGCCUUGCAAGUGAUUUCAUGAAUAAGGCAUGCAACUUUUGCAUAAUACCACUGCUAAUCUUAUGAUGCUGUCCUCGAAGAAAAGACAAAGAUCCGCAUCAUGAUCUUACCGCUAUCCUCCGGGGUUGUGUGCAAAUUAUAUUGCAAUAACCUCCAAGUUCAGACUCAAUCAUGUCAUCCAAAAUAAACUGUGGCACCUGCAAAGAUGAAAAAGAAUCAUGAGUACAUAAUUCUGGAAAUUUAUAAUUAGCCUACACAAGUUCAAGUUGCAUCAUAUUCAGGACAAAGUAUUGAAAAGAGCAUAUCUACAAAUAUAAACAUUGUAUCAAGAGACACUGCUGUACAUAUGAUGAAACAAAAUAAAAAUCAUUCAUUGAGAUGUGGAGAUUUUGUAAUGAGAUUAGUUGGUUAACAGUGUUAAGUGCUGCUUCCAAAAGACUAUUAAGGGCCUAAGGCCGGUUACCAGCCUUGCCAAUUCAGUUUUUGUUUAUCUUAACUUUGACGCAGAAGAUUCACUAGCCCAGCAAGUACAAUGUGCGCUUGCAAAGAAGAGGCUCAAGGUAGGGCUCACUCCAACCGCAGAUUGCAAACUUUACCAUUUUUAAGUGCGCGACUGCAAUGUGACUGCUGUAAAUUUGAGGAAACAUUUUAUUGUUAGGUGAGAAUUGAAACCAGGACCAAAGGACGUUGCCCAGCAAGAGCAUUACUGCUACGCUAGCUGCUCUGUCAUGCUGUUAGCUCAGAGUAAGAAACUUUUGAACUCAAAUGAAACCAGUUUUUUCCAGUUUACACAGCUACCAGGGCCCAAAGGUAAUGUUGGUAAAUGCUGUAGUGGUACCCAGUGGCGUAGCUUGGACAGGAUAUGAGAGGGGGACAAAUUAGUAAAUUUUUAGCCACUUAUGUGGUAGAAGAGGGGGGGGGGGGGGGUGUGGGAGGGGGCGGCCUAAGCUCGGCCCCUGGUGGUACCAACCUUGUUUUGUUAUGACAAUACCAAAGGUAAAUAACGAGAUAAAUGGCAAAUUGAAAGAUUAAGGUGCUUCGAGCACAUCCAUAUCAUGACUUCACAAGUAUAACACUUUGUGCUGGAUGUGUAAAGCAUCAUAUACCCAUGCUUAUUGCAGUCAAGGUUGUUCAAGACACCAGGUACAAUUGCUUUUGAGGGGAAAACAACAAUUUUGGCAUAUAUGUGGGAACUUCAAGAGACAAAUCUCUAUUACCAAGAUAAUGCUAGUUGGAGGGAAAGGAUGUCACUCUUAGACAUAAACGAGGCCACGGCAAGAAAUGAAACUGCAAUCAACAGAAAAAUUGGGACAGCAAGAAUGCAUGUGUCACAACUGUAUACCCCUCCUUACAAUCUCUACCUAAUAUUAAAGUGCGGUUGUUUCUUCCAACCGUCGUGGUUGUUUUGCAAAAAAGUCCCUCAACUUUUUUGUAAUCAACCCACAGUCCUUGGAAUAUGUCUUGACGAUUUUGCAAAAAGGUCCCCAAACUUUACUGCAAUUUGACUCGAGGUUCAGCCUUUGCUCCCGUUCUUUUGUCCUGCCCACACAGCGUGCUUGCCGGCGGCGGCACGGGACGCGCGCCACUACUCCAUCGCUCGCGUGGCCAACCCUCCCCACGCUCACCACGCACUACUGCCGCUCGCCCUGGCGGGCAGCUGCUCCCUCGGGCUGCACGCCCUACCCGCCACUUGGACCUAACGGGUGAAAGAGAGAGGAGGAAGGGGAAAGGAAACAAGGAGCCGAGUGCCUCCUUGCAGUCAACCAAGUAGAGCCAUGUGCCAGCAAGGGCAUGGCGCCAGGGAGGGGGAGGGUGCAGCGGCAGGCGGCAGGCAACGCAAACAGGGACAUAUGCCGGGACCUCACACCCCCCUCUCAAUGACAUCCAUCCCCUUCAGAUCCGGAACUAAGGCCUCCACAUCUAGCAAUUGGGGGCUCGAUUUUGCACUUGAUUGGAACGAUUUGGAGUGGAUUAUAGAAGGGAGGUGGAUGGAAACGAGAAGAAGAGAACGCACUCCUGCUCAUGGCAGCCAGAGGCGCUGUGGCCUAGCGCUUGAAGCGGGAAUGAGGCUAGGCACGAGGAGGACGAGCGCUUGCCUGGGCGACGGCGAGGACGGCAAGAUGCGUAGCGCCUGGGCGACGGCGAGGAUGGGACAAGAUGCGGGUGGUGCCGAUGGAUGAAGAGGCAGCGACUGGAUGGAUGAUGAUGAGUACGGGGGAAAUCGAAUGAAUGGAUAGAGCGGAGGUUAAGCGGUGAAUUUUUUUUAUUUCCAUGUGUGGGUCCCACGUAAUAAACAGAUGGCAUCAAACCACCCACAAAUGUCUUCUACUACUAUACUUGCAAAGAGAGGACUACUAGGGACAACGCACCAACAUAUUGUGAAGCAAAGCCAACAUAUUAGGAACAAGCGAAUAAUAACGUGAGAGUAAGUAAGGACCCGUAGCAACGCACGGGCAUUUCUGCUAGUUCAACAAUAAUUAAAAAGAAUGGUUCCAAACAUCACAAUGAGUGUGUGUUCAAUGGUGCAAGCUUGGUGGCUCAAGCAGUAGAGUAGGAAGGUGCCCUGUGGUGUGCAGCCAGGGCUAAGGACCUUUGAAACCUUUCUUAAGGUCUACUGCUGUAUUUGUUUGGGUUGUUCCUGUUAUUUAAGUGGCACGUAUAUUGUAUCUAUUAAGGCAUGUGGGUGUGGGUGUGGGUGUGGGUGUGGGUGAUGUGUGAGUGGCGUUGCACAGCUGGGUUCUCUUUCUUAAUAAAAUGACAGACAACUCUCCUACGUGUUUGAGACAGAAAAAGGCGACAAAUGAGACUAACAAAUUAUUGACAUAACAGACUCAUCUACAAAGGGAGCAAAUGGUUGUAUGAUAUGAUGCACAACAAAUUGUUUUCCACUCGGAAUAGUUAUUUUUUAAUAAAAAAUGACACUCAAGAAGGAAACCACUGAAACACAACAUAACUGAUAAUUUGAUAUGAAAAAGAAUUUGAAUGAAAAGGAAGCACAAGUACCUGAGUUGUUUUCCCACAUCCAGUUUCUCCACUAACAACAAUUACAUCAUUCUCUUUCAGUAAUUGUAGGAAAUGUUGCUUCUGUUUAGCUAUUGGUAGAGAAGCUCUUGCUUCCAGCAUUUUCUAAAUGUGCAAGGUGAACACAAUAAUUCAUCAGUAACAAGACAAAGAAACAGCAUGCAAUUCUGAAAAUAUACUUUUAUUAGAUUGCACAUUCAUUGCAUACCAAGUAAUUUGGUAGCUUCCUUUUGUCUUCCAACUGCUUUUUCAAAAUUGCACUCUCUGCAUGCUCUGGGGAUUUCAAUCCUAUUGUGGAAGAACACCAAAUCACACUUUAAUUAUUAGCAGAUAGAAGAAAUAGAACUACAACAAUGAUAUUAUAGCAUUCAUUCAUUUGACCAUUUCAAUCUUCAAUUAGAAGGGUAGCAGAUAGAAGAAAUAGAACUACAACAAUGACAGUAUAGCUUUCACUCAUUUGACCAUUUCAAUUAGAAGGGAAAAUUAUUAACUCCAGGAAUAUGAUUGGAAAUCAAAGCUUAUGAUGUGUAUGUCAAUAGACAAUACAAGGUUCAAUAUGAUUCAUCCUGAAAAGUGGCAAGGGAACAAACUCCAUAUGAUAGCAACCUUAUGAUGCACACUGCCCAGGAAGUACAAGGAAAUGAAGAAGGCGAAUGUAAUGACUCGAUAUGCCACAUGGAAGUAAUAUGUCUGUCAUCACUCAUCAGUGACAAUCAAGCAUGUCUUGGACGAGGGGAAAUGAUAACCAUCCACAAGCAAGAUUGUUUAUGAUAUUAUCCAGAAAUAUGUUCAAGAAAAAAGUAGAUGAAAUGAUGAUUUGUAUUGACAGCUUACCCAUACAACUCAUCAUGGCAGCCUCUCUCUUCUCAUGUACAGAUUUGUUAUCUUCAGUAUCCCUAGAAUCUACAAAUAUUCCACCAGCAGAAGAAUCUUCGAUUAGGGAUGUAUCUGCAUCCAUAUUCAAUAACAUAUCUACAAAGCCAGCUCUUCGACUGUCUUCAGUAUCAAGCACCCUUGAUGUUGACAACAAUUCACCUGUUUUAUGAAAACAUGCAAUAUGUAACGCAAAGGCCCAUUAUAUUUCGAAAGUCAUUAAAGAAGGAAAUAUGAAUCAAUAGCUUCAACCUUCUUGCCAUCUUAAAACAAGUGAUGAGUAUGGCUCAGUAAGCAGAUGGCGUAGCGGAAGAUCAGCAAAGAAUUGAUAUAGAGCAAAAGCUGCAACUCGACUUUGUGCUUCCUGUUCAUAAAUUCAGUUUAAUAAUGCAAAUUUAGAUAGAAUAAAUAAGAUUAUUCUAUCAUGAGCAGUUAUGAAUUGACAUCUCACUAUAUCAUGUAGGUAUAAUGAUAGCUAUUAUCACGGAGACAAGCAUGACAAGUUGAGAACCAUAAGCGUAUGUAUCAGAAUAUUAGCUGAUUUAAAAAAAUUUGCAAGAAGCAUUAUCAUACAAAGUAACAGCAAAGUCGUAACCUCAACAGAUCCAUAUUCUUCAUCUAUUUCAGGUAACUGAAUUUUCGUCAAGCCUCCAGCCUUCCGACUCUUACCACGGCCAGUAGCACCCCGCAACACGUUAACAGCAUACACAAAUUUACCAUUUUUCUCAGAUAUUUUACUAUAUUUUGGUGCUUCCCAACCAAGUCUCUGACAAAACUUUUGUAGAACUGCUUUUGGCAUUUUACCAGAAUCUCCCUGUAGUUGGGAAAAAAUGAACAGUUAGAAAUAAGUGCAUAGCAGAAGCAAAGUCAAACAUGAAACAUGUUCUAUCAAUAUGAAGAAAAAGGAAAAGCACUUGGACCUUCUUCCAUAUAUCAUCUAUGUUCCCAAGAAGAUUGCCAUAACCAUCAUGUGAUAAUUUCUCUAUUUUUUGCUGUUUCAAUAUUUCUGGAGCCACUGCGUCCCAAGCAGACGAGUCUUCAAAAAACAUGCCACCAAGCUCAAUCUCCUCUUCAUCUAUCUCCUUUGUGCAAGUUUCAACGACAUCAUUAGGGAUCCCCUUUUUCAAAUCAGGCCCUUCAUCAUUACCUAGACUGUCAGAUUUAUUUUCAGCUACCCCUAAAUCAUUCUGACCACCCUCAAUGUUUGCAGUUUCAGAAUUUGAUGAGACAGGAUGUGCAGAAUGGGUUAUAUGUUCCUUCGAGCUUCCAUGCUUGGAAUUCUUUUUUGCAGCUGUAAAGUGAGGGGAAAUCAUAAGAUAGAUCUGUAUGAACUAUGUAAAAGUUCAAAAACUUAUCAGGACCGUGUAAUUAAGAACUAGUAGACGAGUUAUAACAUGAAUAUAAAUAAUACAAUCAUUAAGUUACCCUUGCUCUUCCGCCUAUUUGGUUUUGCUUCAACAACUUCAAAACUUUCUAAGCAGUGAUCUUCCCAUGUGGAGGAAUCAUUCGAAUUUGCAUCAUCAUCCUAACAUCAAUGGCAGCCAAACAAAAAAGUAUAACAUAAAACAGGACAACAAAAGAAAUAAAAGGAAGAACAGAAAGCCUUGGUAGAAGAAAAGCUGAAAGCACUUGGUAGAGGAAUAAUUUAAUUCAUCAUGAAUUCAUAUGCAUAGGAUAUUCCGAUGUUGUGUACAUUAAAUACAAGCAUCAGUUAAAAAUGUCAUAUACUAUUGUAAUCCAUAUGACCAUAUGAUACAACAUUGAUGCCGUCAACUUUUCAUAUUUUUCCCAUUAAUGCAUAAAAAGGUCAUUUAUAUUGAUAACAAGAAAAUAACAUUAAUGAAUGUGUCAUCACAAGUACUUCCAUUAUAUUCCCUAAUGUUUACUAGCAUGUUGUUACAGGUAAUAGUCAAAGCUGUAUGAUCUAAAACAGCAGAAGUAAUUAACGGACUGAAACAACAGACAAACCAUGGGCUAAAGGGAUAAGGAAAGACUUGAAUUGGAGAGUUCUCAGUGAAGAUUAGUUGCCACCAGGUUUUGUUUUUCAAAAGGUACAAACCAUCGAGCUACUGAAAUUAGCACAACAAAUCAACAAUUUAUCUCUUAAACUGCAAGUUGCACAAGUUCAUGAUGUAGAGGCACUUAGUGUCUAUAGAAGGUUCAGUACAACCCGAGAUUAGUACGAAAUAGCACAAUAACAUCGCAGAAUAAGCAAGCAGUUAUGACUAACCAAAUAUAUGAUUAACAAACUCUAACUAAUGUUCAAAGAAUACUAAGACUAGAUGACUCAAUUGAUAAAAUUACUUGUUCGUACAUCAGUACCUCCUCUUGCUGUUCCAUAUACUGCCGAAUCCAAGCAGCUUGCGAUGACCGCCCGUCAUCCAAUGAUACAUUCUCCUCUCUCCGCCCACCAAUUCUGAUUUCCAACUGCUCGGUGCUCACCUUCACCUCCUCAGGUUCACGACUCUGUGGAACCCAAUUGUCCUUGGCUGUGGACAGUACCUUAACAGAACCUUCAGCUCCUGCAACACACACCGUCAAUGUAAUCAGCAGAUGGUUCUAGCAUGGAAUAGUAACACCCAACGAAUCAACCAAUCAAUGCCUCCAUGAGAGAGGGUGGGGUGGACAAAACUCACCACUUCAGCAUUUAUAAGAUAACCAAGUAAUAUCUCACGAUGCAGGCAAAUGAUCAAUGAUGUAAAGUCUAUUCUAUGUGGACGUACAGGAGAACACUCACACAUCACAAAUGAAUGUUCAAGAGCACACACGCAGACUGAUGAGGACACAAGCCCACGCACAGAGAUAUGUAUGUUUACAUGCUGUACUAGUCACCGCCUGCAAGCACUAAACCUUAAACCCUUGAAAUUUGAUACCUGUGCGAGAAGAGGUGGUGCUGGUGCCACCGCUGGAGAACUUCAGGGGGAGCUCAUCGCCUGGCAGAUUAAAGCACAGCCAGUCCAACGCCGACUCAAACGUCGCCGAAUCCUGCCUCCCGAAGGGGAAGAACACAAAAAUCAUCAGCUCAACAGCCAAUUCGAUCACACAGUGAGGUUCUAGGUGCGCUCGGGGAUACUCACCGGUAUAGCAGAGAGCGCCUGCUCGAUUUGCGCGGAGGAGAAGCCCUCGAGCGCGAGCUUGUCGUACACGCCACGCAGCCGCCGCGCUUUCUGCUCCCUCGACUCUCCGCGGGCCGCCGGACCGUCCGUGGGCGCCAGGGAGGGGGCUGCUGCGGCGGAGGAGUUGAGGAGCAGGCGCCGGAGGCGGCGCUCGUUCUCCGACGAGAUCUGGAGGCGCGGCGCUGCGGCGGCGGCGGAUGAGGAGGACGACGAGGAGGAGGAGGGUUUGGGCUUCUGCUUCUGCUUCGAGCCCGGCUGCUUCUUCUUCGGCGCCAUUUGGCCUCGCGCGCCCGGAGUGUUGGCGCUGCCGUCUGAUCGUCUCCGGCGACGGCGGGCUUUCGGAACUUCGGAAUCGCGGGGAACUGCUGCUUGCUGGGUUUAGCGCUUUUGCAGGGAAGACGGCGACAAGCGGUCUGCUGUUGCCGAUAUUAUUGUGGGACCCACGUGUAAGAGCCAUUCCGCACAUUCAUGGGCAAUUGGGCUUGGGCUUGGCUAGCCCUUUUUUUUUCUUUUUUUCAGUUUUUCUCGUGUAGACAUGCCAGCAAAUUCGACAUUUCGACAUUUCGACGUGCCGUUGCGGCCACGAUUUGGGAGUUUUUAGAAAAUUGGUUCUCAAUUCGCGGCCGUUUUGCAAAUUUGAUCACACCGUCCCCUCAAGGAAAUUUGCAUCAGAUCAAGUGCAACGGUACGUUAUUCAUCUUCUUAUUCGCAACAGGAUGAGGAACAUAUGCAAAUUUUUGGGGGAUAAGGAAAGUAUGCAAAUUUCAUGAAAAAUAGCAUUCUGCACCUUGUGCAGAUAUAAAAUGCAUUGGAGCUGAAUAGCUGAUUGCAACGGCGGAACCUGGGGGGCCAGCAGGGGCCAUUGUAUUGUUUGGGCUUUCAGCCAGUUUCUCACCUCGAGAAUCUGAAAGUCCAAACAAACGAAACAAACGAUAAGUUUUCGAGCCUAGCUUUUUAUGGAUCAAAAGCUCUAGCUUUUCACGGUACAAUGGAAAGCUCGAAAGGAGAGAAAAAUAACCUUCUGGCGUUAUUUACCCACCUGCCAUCGGUAAUGUUGCUUAUUUUUCCUCCCUCCACCCCUGUUAUCCUCCCUCCGCCCUCCGCAUCAGGCCGCCGCCGCUCCGCAUCGAGCGCCGCCGUCCUCCCUCCGCCCCUGCUCAUCCUUGUCGCCCGCCACCCUCCUCCCUCCGCAUCAGGCCGCCGUCGCUCCGCAUCGGGCGCCGCCGUCCUCCCUCCGCCCCUGCUCGUCCUCGUCGCCCGCCGCCAUCUUUCCUCUGCAUCGGGCCGCCAUCCUCCUCCCUCCGCCCCUGCUCGUCGUCGUCGCCCGCCACCAUCUUCCCUCCGCAUCGGGUCGCCGCCCUCCUCCCUCCGUCCAGCCCCUGCUCGUCGUCCGACCCCGCCUCGUCCUCAUCGCCUGACCCCUGCUCAUCCUCAUCCAGCUUUCAGCCACUCUCAUCCUCAAAGAAGCUAGGUUGCCAAACGAACCUCAGCUUUCAGAAAGCUAGCUUUCAGAAAGCCAGCAUUCCAGGAUGAGAAGCCAAAAGCCAGCUAUCGGAAAGUAAAAGCUUAAACAAACAGGACCUAAGCCCAGACAGCUAGAAGCCUGCAGCUGCAAUUCUGCAAAGCGGUAGUAGCUGAACUCAAAGCGCAGAGACAGAAACAGAAGGCCGAUCGGCAUUCACCGAUGCGCUGACACUGAAUCGCCGAUUUAUUGGAAACCAAUCAAAUCAGCGGAGAGGGGAUAGUUGUUAUGUUAUCCGAAUGUCCGCAUGCACGCGAGCAGCAAGUCACGACGCCGGGCGAGACUGACGACGCGGAAGGAAUAGUUGAUGAGCACUACGCAGGGAGACUCACGUUCAAACAAUUUCCACACAUCAAUCUCUUUGCCUUCGACUCGCUUAAACUAAAGAAAAGCCAGAUCAUUAGUAUUUUACUGAUUAGCUCUGCUUAGUUGGUUUAACUUUCCUAUGCAUGUUUUAAAUGAAAAGUAAUGUUAACUUCUUUGUAAAAUGUUUUUUAUUUGUAUAUGGGGCAAACGUAAAUUCAGAAUGUUAUAGUUGUUUCAAGCAUGUAAAAAGGUGAAAAUUUGAUGGCAAAUACACAUGAGAAACUUUUUAUAUUUGCCGAAAUCGACAUGUAGGUCAUUGCCAUUCUGCUAUUAGAUCACAUCGCCCUUUGGACACAGAGUUCCCCGGUGCCUACAUGCCUAUCCUCUUGUGAUCGGAUAUGGCGCUCCUUGGUGAAUGUAAAUACUCCUUCCGUCCCAAAUUUGUAUUUUAGAUUUAUAGUUUGACUAUGUAUCUAGGCAUAGUCUUUGCCAAAGAGAUGGUACAAAAGUUACCAUGCAGAAAUUUUAUCUUUAUUCUUGUAAAAAAACUAGCAUUUUAUAUGAGUCUGGAAACACUGAAUCAGCCUAUUAUUGUGCAUGUUCAGUAUUUCCGCUCAUACAACAAAGGUUGAGUUAAACUGAGGACAGGCUCCCAUAUCAUCUAACAUCUUACAGCUGUCACAUUCUUACCAUGAAAAAUAAAUAUUAAAAAAUCUCUUCAACGAUUUCUUAUUUUUGUGGCGAAACUUACAUAUUGUACAACUGAGAUUCAUACAUGGGAGUCCACCAAAACACUGAACAUGCAGACUUUCCCAAUCGGGAAAGCAAGAGGUUGAGGAGAAAAAUCGAAAUGUUAGCCCAAAGAACAAGAACUGCUUCUGUCUUUCUGAGUUCUGACCAACACUGCGCAGCCUAUCAGGCAUUCAGGCUUUUACGACCACCAGUACACCACCUUGCACGGUUAUUACACCGUCCACGAGGCCGACCUCCUGAGCACCGGCUUCAUGGCCUUGUCCUCCUCGAGGGAGAUCAUGCCAAGGUGCGACGGGUCCUCCAGCAUCAUCUUGGCCACCAGGUACCCCGCGAUGGACCACGUCUGGAACUUCCUCGCCUGCUUCCCGAUGUACCUCCCCAGCUUGCCGUCGUAGUACUCCGGCCAGCCGUCCCUCGCCAGCCUCGCCUCGGCAAGUUCGAUCGCUCGCCGGGCGAUCUUCAGCCGCCCGGUCUUGAUGCACGCCGCCGUCAGCAGCCAGAGCAGCACUGCAAUGCAAUGUUACCAUAAUUAUCAUUCAGUCCCUGCAGCUAAUUAAUUAAGCAACCUUCCGAUCGAGAGCACCGAAUUAAGGAAGACAGUGGCUGACCUGGCCAGGAUCCGCCGUUGUGGUAGCUCCAUCUGGUGUUCUUGGGGUCGCAGCCCGUCACAAUCUGCCACUCGUGGCCCUCGAUGGCCGGGAAGCAUAUCUUGACGGGCAUCUCGCCGACGAGCUCCUCCCAGCGCUCCUCGAUGAGGUCCAUGAUGGCGGAUGCCUGGUCGGGCGUGGCGAGGGAGGCGAGAAUGGCGACGCAGUUGCCGAGCGCGAACCAGCGGAAGUCCAUUCGGGCGGGGCUGACGUUGCCUACGAAGUAACCGCCGCGGGUGGGCAUGAAGUCGAGGAGCCAGUCCGGGAUGGACUCCGGGUUGACGUUGAACUUGUUGACGGCCGUGUGCGAGUACUCCUCCGUCUUGAACCGGUAGAUGUCGUUGAGCUGCUGGAAGUCCAGCCAGAAGUAGCCCCGCACGUGGUAGCUCAGCGCCGCCAGCCGCGUCACGAUCCGCUCCAUGAUCUCCUUCCCCUCCGCGUCCGGCUUCAGCAUCAGCAGCGCGCACCGCAGCGCCAUGAAGAACAGCGCCUGGAUCUCGAUCGGGUACCCGUACACGCCCUGCAUGCGCAAAGGCAGAGAUGGGUUUAGGUUUGAUCGAAGACGUGAUAUGAUUCUUGACGACGACGACGGCGACAUCAUGUUAAAUGAAGCUUGGUUACUACCGUACCAUCCGGCGGUCGAUCAUGCAGCAGCCGUCGGCGCAGAGCAGGGUGGGGAAGGUGUCGAAGCCCUCGGCGAGGCACUGGUUCAUGAUGAGGCGGAUGCCCUUCUGGCACAUGGGCGUCUCGGCGAGGGUCAUGUCGCCGGUGGACUUGGUGUAGGCCCGCAGGAUGAUGAUCCACCAGAACCCCGAGUCGACGGGCGCGACGCGGCCGAUGGCGCUCUCGCCGAAGUCCGCCACCAGCUUGUCCACGCCGCGCUUGGGGUCCUUGAGCACCUUGAAGCUCGCCGGCAUGGCGCCCUCGCCCAGCUUGAACCGGUCGAUCCGCUUCUCCCACCCCUGCAGCAGCAGCGUCUUGAGCAGGAAGUUCCGCACCACCUCCGGCUCCCCGUUCAUCAGGAACGCCAGCGCGCUCGGCACGAAGUCCCGCACGAACACCUGCAUGCGCGUGCAAUUGGAUCGAGUUAGCUGCUCCGAUCCAUCCAGGAACAAAUGACCCACAUGCCCGAAUUAUUCCAAAGCUGUUUGGUAACUGGUAUCAUAAGACACAUCCUUAAGCCUCAACAACUGAGACACUGCAGAUCGAAAAGGAUUGAAAAAUAAAUGUGACAACUCCUGUAGUCACAAAGACGUGUACCAAAACUAGCCACUUGCCCGUUCUUCCAAGUAAUCAUCUAUCUUGAUCUCGCUCAACAUAACUAAUUUUCCCCAAAAAAAGAGAGAAAAAGAUCUCGAUCAGCGUAACAGAAUCCAACUACCCCGAGAAGCAAAGCAACUACUAUGCACGAGCAAGAAAGUGUGUUGGAGCAAGGCAGCAUGCCGUUGCCGUGUCACAACUCACACGCACGUACGUACCUGGUCGUAGUUGAGCACCUCGUCGGUGGAGUGGUCGACGGCGGCGAUGGUGCCGAGGGGCUGGCCGCGGAAGGACACGAGGGAGCGGCGGAGCGCGUCCCAGGCCUCGCCGACGAGCGGGUGGGGCUCGAACGAGAGCCGCGUGGACGAGGCCGGCGUGCCGCAGUAGGACCGCAGCCCGCCGCCGGGCGAGUACAUGCUCUCGUAGCUCUCCAUCAUCCCGCCGCCGUACCCCCAUCCCCCGCGGCUGCCGGCGCCGGAGAGCGAGAGCUCGCUGAGGGAGCGGUCGUCGAACGAGCGCUGCCGCUCCACGUUAAUCCGCGGCUUGUGGUUCAGCAGCCGCGUCAGGUCGAAGUCGUCCGGGUCCGCCAGCGACGCCUGCGACGACGCCUUCCGCAUCGCCGCCGCCGCAUCCAUCUCGUACGCCGCCGCCGCCGUCUUUGCGGCUGGGUAUUACCUUGCUAUGCCUGCCCGGCCGCGCGACGAGGAUGAUAGAAGCGACUCGACCGUUGCGCCGGCGAGACGGCGGCUAAGAGGAAGCGGGGGCGGAAAGCUGUGCGGAGCGAGAGAGGCCGAGCUUGUAUACGCCUCGCCGGAGCUUCGGAUUUGCUUUCCCGUCGAGUCGUAGUCGUAGUCGGAGCCGCGUCGCGCUGCAGAGUCUGGCUCUGCUCCGGCGCGGGAAGGGGUUGCGGUGGGGCGGGUACAUAAAGUGCUCGGGCGCCCGGCGGAUGACGUGUGGGGACGGGCAAUGAGCGGGCCCACGUGCCGGGGAGAUGAAGGUGGUCAGCGUCGGAUCUUGUGGGGCCGGCGCUGAGGUGGCGCGGCGUCCGAGUGGGAUUGCCUCGGCUUCGCUUGCCGUUUGCGUGUGCCUGCUUUGGGGCGGUGGCGAACAGAGGUUGCCUGCCUGGUUUGUUAGCCUGUCUGAGAGAAGCCGGGUGAUGUUCAUCGGUGACGCCGAAUGACUAAGGGAUGACUCGGUUUCUCAACGGAAUUCUUUUCCAGGAUUCUCAACAGAUUAUGGACGAACAUAAAAGCGAGCAUGCAUAUAGUUCAGGGAGUUUUUCUGUUGAGGAGUCUUUGUGGCCGUACACAAAUUCGCCAACCUAUCCCCCGUGCAAAGUCAUUCAACUAAACAAAUUCUUCUGAAUAUAUUUUUUUAAUUAUGGAUUUUCCUAAUGCGUCUCGAGAUUGGUGUUAUUUGUAUCAUAAUACCUCCGCACCUUAAGGUAGAAAUGGGUGGGAUGGUUUAUAUACCAACCAGCAUACCGGUGGAGGCAGGCAAGCUAGCCACUUCAGCCUUCCUCUUUUUCUUCAUCUCCCUCCUUCCCUUCUUCUUCUCUUUGAUCAAUACCCCAAAAUUGCAUGGGGCUGAACUAUGCUUUGCCUCAGCAGCAUAUAGAUUUCACGCUUCCAAAAUGUGGAUUUUGCCUCAGCCUCAGUAGUAUUUGUUAGUUUUCGAAGGGUUUUCCUAUCCGAAUAACAUAGUGAGAGCGUUGAUACAAGGAGUUCCCCAAUGCAAGGCUCGAUGACGUCAGUGGACAGUUUUGUUUUGCACAAAUUUUUCCAUUGAUCGCAAGAUGCAUUGAAUGCCUGAGGCUGUAGAUUGCCUAUCCGCAACGGCACCAGACAAUCUUCUACAAGGAAACAGAGUUUCCUAAACUCUCGGUUAUCCCCUCCAUUCCAACCCUGUAGUAUCUUCGACUAUCAUAGGCACAUCACUUUGUGCAUGUUUACCUGACGACUUCAGACAUAAACUUCUCUAACUUGCCAGCAGUCAGAGCAGAACGACUGCUCUCUGAGCAUAUCUCGAACCGAAUGAUUCGAGAAAUCAAGUGCUAUCUGCGAUAAUAUCAACAUGACCAAGGGCCAUCAGUCCCCACGAAAUAAUUUGCUGGAUCGUUUAAUCAGUUCAUGCCCUCAGAGCGAGUAAAUGCGGGUCACAUCGUGUGGGUUCCGAGCGCACAAUCUCCACAGAAGAGAAGAUGAAACGGGUAACAAAUGUAUCAUUGCUGAAAAGGAAACCGGGCGAAAUCAUUCCAGAAACAUUAAGCACGCAGAAUGUGAUCGUUUGCGUUUGGUCAGAGAGCCCCUGUUAUCAUGCACCUAGGUUCGUACGAGACGGGACGGAACCGUGGGAGGAAGAUUGCAGGCCACGGAACGGCCGGGGCUCUCAAUUAUCAGAGCAGGUCAGUAGUGUCUGCGUGUCCGUAGAUGCGUGAGAUGAAAUCACGGAGAGGAGAUUUUUUUGGUCAGGAUUCGUGAAACGAAGCUUGUGUUUUGUACGGGAGCUUUGGCACCUAGGAGUUCCAGAUACGGGACAACACAAAAGAACGGUCUCGUUCUCGUGAUCUACAAGUAUACGGAUGCCCUGCGACGUAAUUUGGUCUGAUAAUAACUUGACCGCGAAUUGUGAACGCGGCUAUAGGUCUUCGUUCUGCGCAUCUUUUGGGUUGCUGUUGUCGUCGAGCAAAUUAUGGAGGCGAAAACAACUCCUGCCACUGCCAUGCCCUUCACGUUCCUGAAUCGAUGAUACCACCUGCGAGCCCAGCCGUUGGUUUGGUUCACAGUCCUCACGCUGUUUUAUGCCUUGACGCUGCUGCUCCAAAACCGGGUGCUCUGCUCCGGCAACAAUACCGCGCGCGAACCGGAGGCUCUCCAUGAGCUCCGUCGCCUCCGCCCCGGCAGCUACACGGGCCACCGCGAGCGGACGCGGCGAGGAGCGGCCACGUGGAGCCGCGAGGAGCUGGCUGCCGCCGGUGGCGUCCCUCUUGACCAGGAACCCUCCCAAAAUGUCACGACGGCGACCGGCGGAAUGAUGGCCUCCCGGCCCCGUUCGACGUGGCCGUUUGUCCGGCACAACAGUUGCAUGAUUCGACGGAGCCGAGCAUGAUUAGUCAUCAAGCGGGGUGUCACGACCUUAUUACUAUCAUUGGGCGCGCGCCCUGCGUUGCUCGUGAUCAUGCCGAAUGGUCAAAGGGCCGUGGGCCGGCCUUCCAGUACCUUCGCGAGGACAAGAGUAUCAUCUGACCUCACAGGUCACAGCUAGCUAGGUCCUGCUCCUUCAGAAGCUACGGAGCAUUGCCUGCAGGCCAUGGAAGCCCUUGUUCACUUCACUCCCAACUCCCAACUUUCACACUAUGCAAAAAGAAGAUUCCCCAUCACAUCAAACUUGCGGUACAUGCAUGGAGUACUAAAUGUAGAUGAAAUUAAAAACUAAUUGCACAGUUUUGUUGUACUUUGCGAGACGAAUCUUUUGAGCCUAAUUAGUCAAUAUUUGAAUAAUAAUUCACAAAUACAAACGAAACGCUACAGUGUGCUACAGUGCUGUAACAGUAAUUUGGCACCUCCCAAAUUUACGAAGUAAACAAGGCCGAAGCCAUGGAGCAGAACCCGAGAGACCAUAGCCGAUGCGAUGGCGACCCCAACAGAGUGGGGCCAUGUUUAGUUACUCCCAACUCCCAACUUUGACACUAUGCAAAAAGAAGAUUCCCCAUCACAUCAAACUUGCGGUACAUGCAUAGAGUACUAAAUGUAGAUGAAAUUAAAAACUAAUUGCACAGUUUUGUUGUACUUUGCGAGACGAAUCUUUUGAGCCUAAUUAGUCAAUAUUUGGACAAUAAUUCACAAAUACAAACGAAACGCUACAGUGUGCUACAGUGCUGUAACAGUAAUUUGGCACCUCCCAAAUUCCCCAACUAAACAAGGCCUGGGUUGCCUGCUGCGAAUCGCAGCACAGCUUGUUGCAGGUCCUAACCGAUCUGGCGUGUAGAGGAGGUCGGUGACCAGGUCACAGGUCGUCUAGCUAGGCUCGCAGCGCGCCGACCUCACGUGCGCGCGCGCCCGCGCGACGCGACCACCACCGCUACCGGGGAGGCGGGGACGCGCGCGGCGGCGGUCACGUUUGGAAGGCCAACUGCCAACCACCCCCACACUCGCUGCUGCAGCCAGCAUGCAGCGUCCCGCGGCGCAGGGCACCCUCGGCGGCGCGGUUCUGGCCUUCUGGGCACUGGACGGGGCGGGAUGCGGUUUCGCUAGAGCGUGCAUCAGUGCAUGCACGCAUCCGCAUCCUCAGGGUGGCGCCGGCGCCGCGGCGAUGCCCUUACCGCCGGGGCACGGGCACCACGCUUCUCCGGAUCACUCAGAUUCAGUGCUCCGCAUCCACGCAAUCUCCUGAACCAGUGUAUGAACGCGAAUGGCAUCUCGGACGCUCGCUUGGAUCGGGACCCCGGCACGCACAGACCGAUUAUACGUCGAGCCGGACAGCAGUCCACGUCGGAUUUUUAUCGCAGGGUACGGCCAGCGAUCGAUCGAGCAGCAGGAGCUGGCCAGAUGGGUGUAGGAGCACGGCUGCAUUUGAUUCGGAGGUAGAGCUUCAACCUCACGGAGAAGACUACUGACAAGGAUGGGAGGCUCCGCAAAGCAGGAACUGGUUUUGCAUUUCCCCUUUCUGUACGAGGGCUUUGAACUUAAGAACCUUUUUGCACAAGCGUGUUUUUCCGGUUCCUAACCCCUACGAUAUACUCCCAGGGUCGGUCCUGAAAUUUAGAAGGUUAGGACGAAAGUAAACUCGGACCCUUUAAUAUAAACAUUAUAACAAAUAUAUAUGACAUUAUAAUAAACUCGGGGCUCUUUAAUAUAAAUAUUAUAACAAAUAAAUUUGGGCCAUUAAAUACACAAUAAAACAGUUGAGAUUAAAUAACUUGUGAUAGUGAAUUAAUAAUUAAUGUUACAGAGAAUUGGAGAAUUGGCAAUUGAAUCACCUGAUCACAGAAGCGAAUUGGGGCCAAUCGCAGGGUCCGCAAGCAACAAGCCAACAAGCCGAGAACCGACGACGCACAGGGGUUCUCCGCCCUCGCUGAGCGCUUCCUCGCCGUGCGCUCAUUCAGAAACACCACCUCGUGGUCACCAACGUGUGCAACUGCAUGCAUGCACGCACGCCGCAGAUUGGUCAGGAACAGUGAUCGUCGGCCCGCGGGGGUUGUGCGCGCGCGUGUGUAUACAGCGAUCGAGCAGCGUACCUGGAUGCCGGUGCAGUCGAAUAGGAACAGCCUGCCCUGAGGCUGUCCGUAGUCGACGUGCACGAGUCACGAGUGCACGACGCGAGCACGCGGUGGCAGCCUUGGGCGGCGCUCAACUGGUCGAGUACUCGAGUGUAGAGUUGGAUGAUUGGAAUUCACGCACACCACCCGUAUGCCUCCAUCUCGAAUCAAAACGGGCCAGUGAGCUCGAGAGUGCAGCCUCAUGCGGAGCAUGCCGAUCAACUCCGCGAGCGCCGCCGACGCCGACUGGUCCGCCGCCUGCGCGUGAGUCACCAAUUAACCACUCGUGAUCAAAUUGGAUCUAAUCGUGUUUUAGGCCAUAAGCACACCUGACAUUGUCAGGGGUGGGGCCCUGGGAUUUGGGGGCUCGGGGCGGCUGCCCCCCGGGCCGGCUCUGUAUACUCCAUCUCCUUUUACUAGUGGCAUGUUUGGUUGGAGGUAAUUGGUCCGAGGGAAAAUGGUUGGAGGUAAUUGGUCCGAGGGAAAGGGAGUUUAGAUAUGAGAGAAUAAAAUUCUCUUAUUUGUUUGAUGGGUAUGGGAGUUUUAAUGGGAUAAGGAAUAAGAGUUUAGAGGGGCAACUUCCACCAAUUACUUCCCAGGAGGGGUGAGAAUUAGGUGAGAAUUUAUUUUAAGUGGAAGAAGGAUGCAUUAUACCGUUAAUCAUGACUUAAGAUAUAAUUUCCCACCUCUAAACCCUUAUACCAAAUAAGGGAUAUGAAGUCUCACUUAAAUUCCCACUCUUUAGAGCAUCUCGACCUGUCUUCCAAUAAAUAUUUCCCAAUAACUAGUUAAUAGAGAUAUCCCAAUAUCACUUUCAUUGUUAUUGGAAGAGUUACUUUUGCAGUCUCCCAAUAAUCUCAUCUCAAUCCAACUACUGUAUUGGUAGGAAGAGUUGAGGUGAAUUAUUGGAAAAAAGAAAGGUAAAGGAAGAUUGCUGGAGCUUAUCAACUCCACCAAUAUGGUAGUUAGAUUAGAGAAAGGAAGACUGCUAAAGAUGCUCUUAAUUCCCUUCAAAUAUUCCCAAGUGAAAUUCACUCCUCCAACUCCCGCCACUAAUUCCCAUGCUCCUUGCCAAAUGCACUCCAGGAGUAUUACGUUAUGGAAAACUAUUUGUAUACGACCAUCAUUUUUUUUCUUAUUAUCACAAUUGCUACAAAAUCAAUGCUAUAUUAUAAUAUGUUUAUGAAGUGCGGAGUACUAAUCUAUCGAUAUAAGUUUCAUACACUAAGCUUUAUAUAUUUUUUUGACUUAAGUGAUGGUCCAAACUAUAAUGUUCGGCUUUUUUUUUUUUUGCCAAAAUGCUAACACGCCCUAAAAAAGAAAUUUGGAGCUACCCAAAUGUGGUAACUCCUACAUCUUGUUUUUAUCACUUUUUUUGGCCAGCCAAUCAAUAAAAAAAAAGGAAUACCAAAUCUUAGAUUGAUAAGAUGGCAGAGCUCCUGUCCUGAAGAAGAAAAACUCGAUGGAACGGCUACACAGCUGAACCUCUAAUAACCUUUCUCAACAAAAUGGUUCUUUCCAAUCUUUUAGUGACAAAAUGACAACCAGUAAGGAGCAUAGCAUCAUAGCACAAACUUUAUAUAUAUAUAUAUCCUGUAUUACUUGUACAAAAGUUGAGUAGCAGAGUAUGAUGGCAAAUAUAUUUUCACAGAAAAUGUUUAAUGCACAUGGUGAACUCUGAAAUGGCAGUUUCUAGAAUACACAAGCAGAGGCUAGUUUCUAAGCUCUAAACAACAAACAAAUUGAAGGACACAAAGUAGAACCGCAAACAGGCAAAAUGUAGAAGUUGAUGAUUGCCAAUUGAGAUUGAAGAAUGUCAACAUCAAUUUCUAAAACCACACUCUUCAGGAACCACGUCAGUUGAAAACUUGAGAUCUAACCUCUGAAUUGUCUCCUGGUAGAUUUGCUAGCUUAGAUGCAAAAAGCUCCCCAAGCUUCCAUCACUCUUCAUGAACUCGUCUUGGCUGAGGAGUAUCAUCUUGUCCAGCGAAAUACACCAUGACAACAAGAAGGGCAAUGACAAAUAUAAGGAUAUACAGCGAGUUCAGGCUGACAAGAGAGUUCAGGAAACCCAUGAAAGAAGGGCCAGUGACUUUCUUCUUUGUUGUUCUUCCUGCUCUGUAUCCCUCAAGGAAUUGGCUUAUUUGGGAUGCUAGGUCACCUUCUUCUAAUCUCUCUGAACCAUCCACCUUCACCAAGAAGCAUUUUAAAUCAAUCCCAGAAUAUAGUGAAUUCUCCAUUUGAUGAAGAUCAGAGUAAUAGUAGCAGUUUCUAUCUUAAUAAAGCCUUAACUUUUUCAGGGGAAUUUAGAAGGUCAAGAAACAAGAAAGAACAAGAUUAUGCUUGUCAUUGAUUAUGCUGGUGAGCCAUACCAGUAAGAAACAUGCCAAUAACACAAAGUAGUUUUGGUAUGGAUGCUGGUAUUAGAAAAUAGAAAUUGAUUACUGAGGAAGCUUUACUUACUAGUUCAUACUCCUCGUUUCUAUCCCACACCAGUAGCUUUGGAAGCUGCGAACUCUUGGAAACGUCAAAAGUCUCCACAAAUUCAUCCCAUUGCUUGAUUCCAACAUAUCCAAACACCAAAUCACGGUUCGCAGUAGCAGCAGAUCUCAAAACUUGCACUAGUUGUGUAGAAUUUUCAUCUGAAUCAUCCUCCAGAAUAGUGAGAACAACUUUCCUCUCAUCAUCAUUCAGCAUUUUUAGUGUCUCAGUAUUGAUUGGGACAACCAAAGGGAGCAGGGAUUGUCGUACAAAAUCUUCCAAGAAAUUUCCUAUGUCCAAAAAACAAUACCAUCAGUUAUGGGAAAAGCAAAAUGCCUAUGCAUUGCAUAUUCAACUGGACACAAGAUGAUAUAUAGCACUUCCAAUUACUUCUCAAACCAAGCAUCAGAACAUAAAGACUUAAGUCAUGACAACAAGAAAGGUAUAACAAAUACCUUCAAAUGGGCCAUAGAAUAAACUUUGUUCCUUAUACUGUGGAUGGAUUGCAACUAGUGCCGGGACCUUAUCAAACUCAUAGGUUACCAUGAUGUCCUCGGAGAAAUCUUUUGCAACAGCAAACCAAGCUCUUUUCUUGUAUUUCUUUCCAUAUUCAGCAAUCAGCGACUCAUUCACCCCAAAACCAAGGAAGAUAGGAAAGCUUGUACCAGCAUUCUCAACAAAGUUCUUUAUCGCAGUGUCUGACUCAAGGAUAGAAACAUCUGGCGAAACAAAUUUCUUCAGAUUGCGGACAAGCUGGUCAGCUUUCCGCGAACCAGUGUAUUCAAUUGGGACACCAUGGAUAAAAAGCAUCAGGGUAGGGAACCCACUGCAUUUAUAAACUAAAAAGCAUUAGGCAUGAACUUUUCAAAAGAAAAGCAUUAGGCAUGCAAUGUAAAAUUCUCCACUCCCCAGUGAUAGAUACUUAGGCACAAGAGCUUACUCUACUCCAUAUUUUGAUCCAAGUUUCCUGUAUUUGUCAGCAUUUACUUUGGCAACUACAAUGGGUUCACUCAACCCUGCCAAUACCGGCGCAGCUUCAUCUAACUGCAUCAACAAAAAGGCAAUAAUAUCAUAAGUUCACAACAAGGUAACUCACUGGCAGUUCCUGGCUUUUUAAUACAAGUGCAAGUAAGCAAAGUGUAUCAUUUGAGAAUCUAUUAACGGGCCACAAACAUACUGUAUUAGCACUUAGUUUCUUUUCUUCCAUAAGCUAAUCUACUGUGAUGUCACACACUAUCUCACUGUUUAUUUAAUAACUGAAUAAUAACAGACCUUGUUCAAAAAAAAAUCGAAAACAUAUCCUAAAGAAAUAGUAAGUUCUGUACUCUCCCAACUUCUCCCUAAUUUGCUUCAUGGGACCACGCAAAGAACAUGCGAUCCCGGAAUCCCAAUCAAACCACUCCAAUAGCACUAACGGAGGCAACAAGAUCCACAGCGACAACCCCACGGCAUCCCGACACCCAGCACAUCCCAAUUCGCAUCGCAUCUCGCAGGGCUAGCACCAGCAGCAAGUUGCAGGUCGGCAGGUCUAGCGGGCAGGUCAGCGCUCGUACCUCGGGCGCGAGGCGCUUGCAGUGGCCGCACCACGGGGCGUAGAAGUCGACGAAGAGGAAGUCGAUGGCGCCCAGCGCGGCCUCGAAGUUGCUCUCGUCCAGGUCGAUCACCCGCCCGUCGCGCGAGAACUCCUCGCCCGCGGCGGCGGUGGCGCGGGCUGAGAGCGGGAGCAGCAGCAGGAGGAGAGGAAGCAACGCCGGCGGCAGGACUCGAGUCGCCAUCGCCGUGGCGGGCGCUCGAUUCGAUCUCCGCCGCGUCGGAAGGAGGGGCACGGGACUUGACAAGUUUACGAGGGCAAGGGGUUUAUUGGGGAAUAAAUUCCCAUUUACCCUUCUUCUGAAUCUGAUAUUUUUUUAUUCUUUUUUUCUUGGAGAAGAUAUUUUUUUUGUCUGAAUUUGAGCCCCACCUUAAUUUUAGAUCCUUUGUACUUUCGAAACGAUUUGGAUGUCCGUGCACAUCUUUUUGCUGGUUCUAUUUAUCUACUAUAUAAAAAAUUAAAAUCAAAUUUAAGAACACCCGUGUUUAUUUCUGUUUCUAAAAAGCUCCUAAGAAGUACUCCAGUAAGGUAAUUUUCCAAACCUACAAUUUCAGCAAUAUUCUGCAGCUAAAAACCGCAUGGUCACCGUCACCGAAACUUUGCUCCAGCAAAUGCCACGAGGACCACCACGGAAUCUCAUAUCCAGAAUCAAUCCAGCCCCGUUAUAUUCCACGAUUUCCGUCUACAUAGACAAGCGACACCUCAAAAGGUAACACCAGCUACCCGUGCUCAGCACAAGUAGCGUGACAAAGAAACCGCACGCCAAUAAAUGAUAUCACUGCUGAGGUUUCUCCACAGCCUGGAAAGUUCAAGCCACGAUAUUAUUAACAGAAAGUUGCGUCCUACAUCAAAUGGCAAGAAACGAGGUUGCAGCUUUCUCGUAAGAAAACCGGUAACAAGUAACAACCAAGGCAGAAUGAAGUGCAAGCUUUUAACUUCACAAAAUGUUGUUGAAAAUAGGUCUCCAAUAUGUAGGCCUCGAAAGCAUGAUAGCUCAACCUGAGGCGGUCUUCUUCUGCUGGAAAACGACUGCGUACACAGGGACGCCAACGCCGAUGCUAACUGCUCCCAGCACAGAAAGAGUCGCUUUCAACCCCUGAUGCUUCAUCCUGUGCAAGUUGUAC